RNAcentral lists this long non-coding RNA (50887 nucleotides) under Malus domestica (apple). RNAcentral's name for it is "long non-coding RNA (MDOM_LNC006337)". The record is from RNAcentral. Lineage: Eukaryota; Viridiplantae; Streptophyta; Magnoliopsida; Rosales; Rosaceae.
CAUGGAGGACAUUACAGUUGAUGGAUAUCACAUACCCAAAAAAUCAAGAGUCUUUAUCAAUAUUUGGACCAUUGGGAGGGAUCCAAGUGUAUGGUCAGAUAAUGUGGAAGAAUUCUACCCUGAAAGGUUUAUGAAUAGUAACGUUGACCUACGUGGACAUGACUUCCAGCUCAUACCAUUUGGGUCUGGUCGAAGACGGUGCCCUGCUAUGCAAUUAGGGUUAACCACAGUUCGUCUUGCUCUGGGAAACUUGUUGCACUGCUUCAACUGGGAGCUCCCUAGUGGAAUGCUACCUAAAGACUUGGACAUGACUGAGAAAUUCCGCUUAUCGUUGUCGAAAGCCAAACACUUGCUUGCCAUGCCGACGUGCCGCCUGUACAAUCGACCUUAAUAUCUAUAGUACGUCUAGGCAUAAAUUGGAUUAAUGCAAAUAUCUUGUAGCUCAGUUGAUUAAGAAUAUUAUUCCUUGCCUUUGAGGUAGUUUGUUCGAUUUCCCUCUUGUAAAAAAUAAUUUGCUUGUCAUAAUGCCCACCUAUGUACCGCCUACACGGUCAACCUUCACAAAGGGUUGAAAUAAAUGUUUUGUAGUUAUAAUAGUGUUUCUUUGAGUAAUGCUAGGGAGACUGUUAAAUUUGUAGACUAAACUUACAAACUAAAUAAUAUGUUACAAAUAAGAAAUGAACACGUUUAUCAACAAUUAAAUGAUAAUCCAAUUAUCAACUUUCAUGUCAUUUAAUUUACAAAAUUUAAUCUCCCUAGCAUUACUCGUGUUCCUUUUAUGCCACCUCUGACUAGGAAAGAUUAAAGUAGUUACAUCGUAAAAGUAUUAACCAUAAUACGUUUUUCAUUCUCUUAAUUAAUGUUUAAAAUUAUCUUACAAAAAGCUAAUACAAUUGGAGCUGGUUUAGAUUAAUAUUUCAAUAAUUGCGCCCUUUUUACUUACAUAUCUAAGUUUAUCACUUUAUGUGUACUAGUUUGUUUUGUUUUUGGGUUUUGCACUUAGGUUUCAUUCAUUCGUUCAUUAUUUAUUUCUUUCCUUCUUUCCUCAUUCUUCUUUUUUUUUUCCCAUUUAUAUUUUCUCCACAUCUCAAACACAAAAUGUAAAAACUAAAAAUCAAAUAGCCAUCAGACGAAUUCUUAAAUUUUACUCUCUUAAAAUAUACUUUUUCUCUGGAACUCUCUCAUGUAGCACUCAUCUCGCUAUUUUUUCUUCUUAUAAUACAAUGAUAUGUUUACACCAAAGGAGACAAUAAACCGGUAUCAAACUUGUCAUUCAUAAGAUUCGAAUCUAAAACCACUCACUUACAAGUGAAGGGUAUUAAGGGUACAAGUGUAAUACGGUUAGAAAUAUAGUUAGUAAUAUAGUUAGUAAGGUUGUUAGUAUUUGGUUAAAAGUAGUUAGGAUUUAUCUUAUAAAAACAGUGUGUAAUCUUCAUUUUAGUCAGUUAAUCCAAAUCCUAUUUCUCUCUCUAAACUAUCUAUGUCGCUCUCUAAGAUCUCUGUGUUCAUUCUUCUUCAUCUUCCUUCUUAAUUUUCCUUUCAAUUCUCAAACAUUGCAAUGUAGUUAACAUGGUAUCAGAGCCACCAGGCUCACGCCAUAGAUUCUGGUGGUUCCACUUCCCAUUAUUUUUCAUAUGUUUCUAGCUUAGUUCUUUCCAAAUUUUCAUUAGAUGUUUGAAUAAAUUUCUGGGUGCUUCCGCGAUCGUUGUUUUACUUAUGGGUUGAUUUUUCUGGAUUGUGAUUAGAGAUUUCUCUACUGAACGUGAUUGAUUUUCACCGAUCUUUACUUCUCAUCGAUUUUGGGGAUUGAAUUUCUUGUUCUGAUGCAGAGUCGGCAAGUAAGUACCCUGAGUCAUGUUCACAAGGUGUUCGAAGGAAGACCUGAGAGAAGAAGUGUGGUACCCGAAUUUGUUUCUUGACGAACCGAUUUCAAUUCACGAUGUUCUUGGCCCGUCCUCUGCUUUGGUUCCGAGCGAUGUUAAUCAGGGUUGGGAUAUUAUCUUAUCGCCGGCCUGCGAUUCCAAUUCCAACAUGGUUUUUGAUGUUUCUGAUGCCAAGAACAUGGUCGAUUGGUCCCGGAUCAUCCUAUUGCUGGGCUCGAAAGGGUUCGUUUCUUUCGUUGUCGGGCUGAACCCUAUUCUUGAUCGUUGUUCAGGCAUUUCUUGUGCUGCAAUGGCUUCUUGGGCUUGCAGGGCACCGUAUAAGGCUGCAGGUUCUUGAAAGCUUGUGAAUUGUGGGAGAUUAUAAGGGUUUGAAGUCUGUGACAAUGGAUACGCUUCAAGCUCCAAGCUUGGUGGAAGAAAGAUUGUGAGAUUCCAUAUUCUGCCUUAGAUUGAUGAGAGACUUCUGGUUUUCUCUCUCAGCAUUCUUGGGUCAAGAUUGAAGUUCUUAUCAGGUUCUUGAUUUCUGGGUUUUCACAGUGCACAUAAUCUGUUUGAUUAAAUGUUUCAGUAAGAAAAUGUUCACUAUUUUGUUCAUCUUUGUUGUGAAUCUCUUCUGGGAUAUUAGUGUAAUAUUUGGGAUAUUUAGAUUCAAGAAUAUUGAUCGUCGUGGUUAGUUUGAGUUUUCUUUGGGUAUUCAAUAAGGUGAAUUGUAGUGAUUUGUGGCUUGGUGCGAUGGGUUUUGAAGAUGGGUUAUGUUUGCAGCUUAUUUUAUGUAUCAAGUAUCUUAGGUUUUGAAGAUGAGUUUGUUAGCAUUGUUUCCGGUUUUUGUGAGUGGAUGAUGUUGUUGCCUGUGUAGAGGAUGAAAGUACUGGCUAUAUAUUACCAAACAAAUGGAUCUGAACCCCUGUUACCUGGUCAGUUUGUCAGCAAUUUGACUGAUGGUGAUGUAUCUGUAGUUUCACCCAAUCUUAGCAGUAUAAAAUGGAGUAUAAGAGGAUUGCAUUUAGUGCCUCUGAACUUGUAAGAAAUGGACAAGGAAACUCUCUUGAAACUGGCAGUCUCAUUUCAGUGAAUCUUGGCAGAUCAGUGUGCCAGGGCAAAGCAGCGAAGCAAGCAGCAAUGCCUGUUUAUUAGAUUCAGCAAAGGUUACUGGAGUGAGUGUUCAGGUGCUAACUGAGGAGUUGUGCAGUAUAUUUCUUAUCACAGCCUGUAAUUUCAGAGUCUAACCAACUCAGUUGUUAGCAUGAAUCUACAGUAAGUCCGGUUAUACAAUAAAGUUUGAAGAAGUUGUAAACGGUAAAUCCCAUGAAGGGUAAUUCCAUGAUAUGAAUAUGUAAAUCCCACAAAGGGUAGAAGAAGUUAACGGUAAAUCCCACGAAGGGUAAUCCCGUGUUUUGAGUAGGUAAAUCCCACGAAGGGUAAUCCUACAUAGAUGUUGAUUUUCAAUUGUUGAAAUUGUGAAGGCCGAUGCCAUUGUUCAAAGAAGUUGUUUUUUGGUAAAAUCCAUAAAGGGCGAUCCCGUGGUUCUAUAGUUAAGGCCAAUACCACACUAUAGUUUGUUAAUUUUCUGUUUUUGUAAAUAUUAAAGGCCUAAGCCAAGUUGAAUGAGAUUGUUGACGGUGAAUCCCACGAAGGGUAAUCCCGUAAGAAGUUGUUAUACCGGCAUGAGGGUGUGCUAUAACUACUUUAUAGAAGGUUGUUCUUGUGUAAAACUCCUGAUAGAGGCAGAGGAAUACAGGGUGUCUUUAUUUGUAAGGCAAUGGAAGAAAUUUGGACUGACAAACAGAGGUUUUUGGUCAACAGCUACAAAGAGGUCAUGGGGUACACUUGUUUGAUUCAGGGCUCUGGGAAAGCUAUAAGCUUUGGUGAUAUGAUUUGAGUAUAUGCGCUUACUCUCUGUCGUAUGGCCGUACAUCUGCUUCAAGUUGUAAGAGAUUCAUUUGGAAAUAAACCAAUGGAUGAAUCUUAUGCCAAGUCUUUUGAGCAUGCUUAUCAAAUGCUAACCGAACUACAUGCACAAUUAGUUCUAUCCCUUUUAUCCAAUAAUCCAGUUUUGCAUAAUUGUUUUGUAGUGGAGAUGGUUGUUUGGCUCGUUUUCUGCAUGGCUUGCUGUUGAAGUGUUUUUGAAGUUAGUAUUCACUGUGAUGAUGUUUGAAUAGUUGCCUUCUAUCAGAUAGUGUUAGAGAAUCUAUCUGUUGAUCAAUGGAAGAAAGAUCGUUAUUUCAAAAACCUGUGUGAGAGCAGGUCUAGUUUUUCCAGCAGAGUGAAGGAUAAUCAGGUCUUGUCUUUCUUGUUUGCAGCAGGCUAAUCCAAAGUGUUGACUCUAGUUAAAGUGCUACAUGUGGACAGAUGUUUGGGUAUCAAUCCAAUGGUGGUUUUCCUAAAUCUACAGUUUCAGUGCUACCAUGUCUCAAUUCUUCCAAUCUCAAACUGAGUUUCCCCAGUUGAGAUUGAGGGGAAGUAUUAAGGGUACAAGUGUAAUACAGUUAGAAAUAUAGUUAGUAAGGUUGUUAGUAUUUGGUUAAAAGUAGUUAGGAUUUAUCUUAUAAAAACAGUGUGUAAUCUUCAUUUUAGUCAGUUAAUCCAAAUCAUAUUUCUCUCUCUAAACUAUCUAUGUUGCUCUCUAAGAUCUCUGUGUUCAUUCUUCUUCAUCUUCCUUCUUAAUUUUCCUUUCAAUUCUCAAACAUUGCAAUGUAGUUAAUAAAGGGUAGUAAAGGAGAAUAUUGUGGUAGCAAAAAUAUGUCGUUUUCUGCCUAGACGAAUUUUUACCUACAAAACAAAUAAACACAUGUGAUCAAAGACAAAGCCCCGCGCCCAAAGAGUGAAGGUGGGGGGUGUUUGGCCAAUGAAUCUUCAAUGUCUAAGUCAGUUUCUCUGAAAAGAGAGAGGUUUAGGGCUUAAUUGUGUAGCAAAAGUUUACUAAAAUUUGGUGGAGAAUGGGGUAUUUAUAGGAGCUAGGGUCACCAUGGAGGAGAGAGAUCUCGUGCUAUGUAUCGUCAUCCAGUUGGCUAAGGUGUGUCAUUCGUUGGAUGGAGUAGGUAAAGAAUUAUCCCAAUGAUAUUAUUGAAUAAAUAAUAUCUUAGAAUUAUCUUGUGGGUCCCUGAUUGGAUUUGAUGAAAAUUUCUUGCUUGAUUAUGUAUUGUAGUCAAAUCUCAUAUUUGCACUCGAAUAUAUCAAUGUUACGCAAGUGCAAUUAAGAUAUUUGCCCUAGUUUCAUAUAAUCUGUUAGGCACUGAUAGGAACAUAUUUAUGCGACUUAGUUAGCUUGUUCUUGUGCAUUUGUGUUGUUAUUUCUUAGUUAAUUAUGUAUUUUAAGCUAUUUUCGUGUGUUUGUAGGUCAUAAUAGCAAAGUUGGCAAGAAAGUGCAUUUUGGAGCAUUUUAGAGCAUUUUUGAGCCAAGAUUGGAUAGUGCAAGCAUGGAGACAUGAGGAUGGACGUUUGUGAAGAUUUGAAGGCUAGAAAUUAGCAUGUGUGUGUGCAAGUGUGUUGACCUACAACUCCAAACAUCCAUCCACUACACCCAUUACAUCCACUCAUUACCAAACAUCCACCCACUACACCCAUUACAUCCACUCAUUACCACAACACUCACCCACUACACCCAUUACAUCCACUCAUUACCAAACACUCACCCACUACCCAUUACAUCCACUCAUUACCAAACACUCACCCACUACACCCAAUACAUCCACUCAUUACCAAACACUCAUCCACUACACCCAUUACAUCCACUCAUUAUCAAACAUUUACCCACUACACCCAUUACAUCCACUCAUUACCACAACACUCACCUACUACACCCAUUACAUCCACUCAUUACCAAACACUCACCCACUACCCAUUACAUCCACUCAUUACCAAACACUCACCCACUACACCCAAUACAUCCACUCAUUACCAAACACUCAUCCACUACACCCAUUACAUCCACUCAUUAUCAAACAUUUACCCACUACACCCAUUACAUCCACUCAUUACCACAACACUCACCUACUACACCCAUUACAUCCACUCAUUACCACAACACUCACCCACUACACCCAUUACAUCCACUCAUUACAACUCCAUACACUCCUCUCCCUAGCCUAUAAAUACAUCCACCCUUCACCAUAAUUAGGGGGCCAUCAUCCAAAGACACCACAUCAUGUACACAACUCUCCACCCUUCACCAUAACUCACCUAUAUCCAUCCACCACCACAAGAGACCAUCCAUUCACCACUCACACCUUGGUGCUGCAUAUUUGCAAGGAAAGAGGAUUGCUUGGAGUUGUGCUAGUCAUUCAAUUUGGAUUGCUGGAGCAUUCUAGGUGUAUUCUACUUUGGUUUUCAAUGUUUAAUUUCAAUUGCUUCUGUUUAAUUGCAAGUAUGAGGAACUAAACCUCUUUUGGCUAGAGGAGAAUUCGAAACCAUGAAUAUAUUUGCAAUAUGAAUUUAUUACUUCUAAUUGUGAUUUGAUAAGUUGUGAUUGCAAUUCAAUUAUCUAUUUUAUUCAUAACGGAUUUGUGUAUGUUUAUUAAGGAUGCAUACUUAGUUUUCAUGCAUGAAUUUGAUGCUAGGAUAUAAAUAAGUUUCACCUAAUCGUUACAAGUUUAUAUUCAUGAGUAGUGAAGGUUGCUUGUCACAAUCGCGUUAAUUGAAUUCUUGGCAAACGUAUCAUGCAUUCAUAGUUACAAUUGCCUCGUCAAUGCUUAUGAUUUUCAUGGAACGUAAUGAUCUUUAAUUGUCGCAUGCAUUCAUCCAAUUCAAUGAGUAAAGGAAAAUCUGAGGGUUAAUUUGUGCAUCACGGUUAAUCUGGGGUGUUGAGCAUCAUAGUUUAUUGAAAAGCAAUUGGAGAUUGAUUUGUAUGCAAGUGUGUCAUGUGUGGAGAAAGACCUUCUAGCUAGCCCAUCAUCCAUCCAAAACAACCAAUUUCGUGCAAAUCUGUUUAGUUCUAGUUUCUGUUUUGUUUUACUUUAUUUUCGUCCAAAACCCAAUCCCCAUUUACUUUAGUGUGUCUAAUUAGUUAAAAUCUGUUUUAGUUUGUGUUUUUAAGUGUUUUGAGUCUAUAAAGUGUAGUUAAGUGUUUUUAAGUUUCUUUUUGUAAGUCAGUUUAGUUUAGAUUAGCAAUCCCUCCUAAUCCCCGGUCCAGAACGAUCCCUACUUAUACAUAUACUACAAUUGUCAAAAGAGGGUUUAAUUUGAGUGCUUAACUUUCAUCGCAUCAGGCACAUUCUUUAAUUAGCUUUGGCAAAAUUCUACGAAAAUUUACGAAACCACUAUUUUCAAAGAAUUUUUUUCCACACAACAAGCUUUUUAAAAUUCUUGCUAGACAAUGUAAAGAAGUCUGGAAAUGAUAGUAAGGCCACUUUCAAAGGGCAUUAUGUUUUCCUUAUUACUGGUGUUGAUGCACAAAAUCAGUGAGGACUUUGGUACAACAGAAAAUGUCAAGUUUGUGACCUUCACUAGAUUGCUCCGGUCACUAGUGUGGAUAAAUAUGUAAAUGGAUAGAGACAGGGAAGUAAACACAAGAUGUACGUGGUUCACUUAGAUUGGCUACGUCCAUGGAGUAGAGGAGUUCUCAUUAAUUGUGAAGGGUUUACACAAGUACAUAGGUUCAAGCUCUCCUUUAGUGAGUACUCGUGAAUGAUUUAGUACAAAUGACAUUAGGAAAUAUUGUGGGAGAAUGAUCUCCUUUUAUAGAAGAGAGUUUCUAGCUUUAUUCUGACAUUGACACGUGUCGUGUUGUGAUUGGCUUCCGAUGUUGACACGUGUCGCGUUAUGAUUGGCUUCUGAUGUCGACACGUGUCGCACUGUGAUUGGCCUCCUGGUUUGAGGGAAACUAUUCUGGGUCCUUGAUGGUAUAACGUUGAUCAGUGCUCGGUAGUUUCGGGAUUGGUCAAGUAUGGUACAAACAGUGCUCCCUUAAGUUCCCGAGUGAGGGAAGCUCCUCGGUUAGGGACUUGCAAGAUCCAAGCCAUUGAGUAAUCACGAAACUUCUAAGUACCGAAGUGUGGUAUCGUCUUCACUUGCCUUAUUUGUCUUAUAGGUAGAUGUGGCAUCUUCUCCGGAAGUACUUUUCCUCCAUCCAGAUGUGGUAUCUUUAACCGGUGGAGAUGCACUAGGUAAUGUAUCAAUUUGACUUGAAGCUUACUUGUAAUUUCAAGCUUGGUCAAGCGCGAUACAAACCAUGUAGUAGGAGUCCCCCAAGUCGCCGAGCUAGGAGAUUUGCCUAAAGAGGUGACAUACAAGGUAAGCAAUCAGAGUUCCAAGCAAUCAGAAGUUUGAUUUCGAGUUCCGGCUGAUUGUUCUCAUUCUCCCUAUCUUGCAGGCAUGAAGAAGGAUAAAGAGAAGAAAAAUGAGAAGAUAUGAUAUGAGAUACUUUUGCUUUUGAAGAAGUAACUUUCCACAGGCUUAUUCUUGAACUGGGCUGGAUGGUGGUUUCCUUAAGAGUAUAAGGCCGACUCAAGAAUUUGAGGGUCAAAAUAAGUCUAUCAAAUCUAGAGUACAUUCGACCCUGAUGAUAUGGGGUACUUUUGUUGUUGACAAAGUAGUGGAUGUAUCGGCAUGUGUUCUGUUAUGCUUGUCUCCACAUGCUUCCUUGUAUCCUUCUCACUUGCCCUAUCUGUUCCUUAGGCAGAUAUGGUAUCUUUUUUGGAAGCAUAAGAUGUUGAAGAUGAGUACUCGAGAGCAAUGCCAGAUAAGUAAUCAAGCAAGGGGUUCCAGGCAGUCAGUUCCUGACUGGAAGCUUGAUUCCAAGUGUUAACUGAUUGCUCUAUUUCUCCUUGUCUUGCAGGUAAGAACAAGGGCAAAGGAAAAUACAGGGAAAAAGCAUGAUAUAAGAUACUCUUGCUUUUGACCCUGAUGAUAUGAGAUACUCUUGCUCUGGUGUGGUUGGUUUGCAUAAGUAUUAUUGGGGGGAAGAAAGCUGAGUAUUUCUAGAGGCUUUGUUGAGAGUGCCUUAUCAGAUAUGAGGAAGGGUUGAGCAUUUUUGUAGGUCUGCCUGUCCGUGGAGGAUGGAAGUCGACAUAUAUAGAAGUCUCCCUAAUAACAAGUAGUAAUGAUAUUCCUUUACCCUUCUUGGUCAUAGCAAUGUAGUGGAAGCUGCAAGCUUCACGUGUUUUAACUUUGUCAAAGCACUUUGAAAAAGUGGUCCGUGGUAUCUGGAAAGCUGAUGUUGCGUGUGAAAAUUGCAGACAAAUUUUAUCCAAGGAAAUCUGGCUCUCGAAGUUCGGAUAACAGUGCUUCUUCGGUUUUUGAAUAAGCAAUCCUGUUGGGAAUCUGGCUCUCAAGAUUCGGAGAGCGUUGCCUCUUCGAUUUUUGAACAAGCAAUCCUAUUGGGGAUCUUGCUCUCGAGAUUUAGAGAGCGAUGCCUCUUCGAUUUUUUAGAAAGCGAUCCUGGUAGGAGUCUGGCUCUCAAGAUUCGAAUAGCGGUGCCUCUUCAAUUUUUGAGAAAGUAAUCCUGGUGGGAGUCUGGCUCUCGAGAUUCAGAUGGCGGUGCCUCUUCGAUUUUUGAGAAAGCAAUCCUGGUGAGAGUCUGGCUCUCGAGAUUCGGGGAGCGGUGCCUCUUUGAUUUUUGAGAAAGUAAUCUUGUUGGGAGUGUUUUCUCGAUGUGAGUAAAGGUUGGGCAUUUUUGCCAGUCUGCCUUGCCACGGAGCACGAAGGUUGACACACAUAGGGACUUUCCAGUUAUCAAGCAGUGGUGCUGUUCCUUUACCCUUGUGGGUAAUGGUAGGGUAGCUGAACUUUCAAAAUUUAUGUGUCUAAACUUUGUCAGAGAUCUUUGGCAAAGUCAUAUGUGGUACACGAGGAGCUGAUGUUGCAUGUGAGGAUUAUAGACAUAUUUUACUCAGGAAAAUCUGCUUCUCGAAAUCCGAAGAGUGGUGCCUCUUUGAUUUUUGAACAAACGGCCUUGCUGCCCUUUCUUUUAUAGGGGCACCAAUUGUGUGCAAGAAGUACGUUCAGAGAGUUAUUGCUUGUAGGAAUUUUCCCCUUAUUUUCGUACUUCAGAGAUUUAUUGGACCUCAUUUCUCCUUCAUCAUUUCUGAAAAUGUCUGGCCCAUCCGACCGUCGUUGUGACUUGAACUUUGGUGAAGAGGCAGCCAUGCCUUCUCAAGACAACAUAUGGCCACCAUCCUUCUUAUCCCCUACCGGUCCUCUUACCGUUGGGGACUAUGUGAUGAAGAAUGAUAUGAUCGCUGCGGUGGUGGCUAGGAACCUUCUCACUCCCAAAGAUAACAGACUAUUUUCCAAACGAUCUGAUGAGUUGGCUGUUAAGGAUUCUCUGGCUUUUAGUGUUCAGUGUGCAGGUUUUGUGUCUAAUAUGGCCCAACGCCUAUUUGCUAGAACCCGUCAAGUUGAAUCAUUGGCGGCUGAAGUGAUAAGUCUCAAACAGAAGAUUAGAAAGCUCAAGCAUGAGAAUAAACAGUUGCACAGGCUCACACAUGACUAUGCUACAAACAUGAAGAGGAAGCUUGACCAGAUGCAGGAAUUUGAUGGUCAGAUUUUACUUGAUCAUAAGAGGUUUAUGGGUUUGUUCCAAAGACAUUUAUUGCCUUCUUUUUCUGAAGCUGUACCGCGUAAUGAAGCUCCAAAUGAUCAACCUCCGAUGCCUCCUCCUUCUGGGGUUCUGUCCAGCACUGAGGCACCGAAUGAUCACUCUCUGGUGCCUUCUCUUUCUGGGGCUCUGCCGACUGCUGAGACUUCUCCUGGGCAACCUUUGUGAAGGCUCCCUCUUGUUUGUUUAUUUUGAUUCAUGUAUAUGUACAUAUUUGUAACUUAUCGGAGAUAUCAAUAAAUAAGAUUUGCUUCAUUUCAACGUAUUGUGUUAAAUACACCAAAGCCUUCUUCACUAAGUUCUUUGAAGUUUUUUCUUUUGUUGAAGCUUGUAUGUUGAAGCUUUGUGAGUGAAGCAUGUAUGUUGAGGUAGUGCUCCCUUAAUUUCCCGAGUGAGGAAAACUUCUCGGUUGGAGACUUGAAAAAUCCAAGUCACUGAGUGGUCGUGAGACUUCCGAGUAUCAAGGUGCAGUAGUAUAUGGUAGGAGUCUCCCAAGUCUUCGAUCGAGAGAGUUAACGAAUGAGGCAUUUCCUUUCUAAGUAAUAGCCCAAAACUCCUCCUUCAUAUAUAUUUGUUAUGAAAGUUGUUAGGACCAAAGAAGAGGAGGCCUAGGCAAUUUUUUUUUUUUUUUGAAUUUUCGAAUUUUCGAAAAUAUAUAUAUAAGCUUUGUAGGUGAAGCUUUAAGGUUGAAGCUUUGUUGGGUACCAUGAAUUGAUUUUGCUUCACAUUAUCUUGAUCAAGAGUGUGUGAAGCUUUUGUAGGUGAAGCUUUUGUGUUGAAGCUUUGUAGGUGAAGCUUUUGUGGGUGAAGCUUUGUAGGUGAAGCUUUUGUGGGUGAAGCUUUUGUAGGUGAAGCUUUUGUGGGUGAAGCUUGUGUGGGUGAAGCUUUUGUAGGUGAGGCUUUUGUGGGUGAAGCUUUGGUGUUGAAGCUUUUGUAAGUGAAGCUUUUGUAGGUGAAACUUUUGUGGGUGAAGCUUGUGUGGGUGAGCUUUUGUAGGUGAAGCUUUGUUGGGUACCAUGAAUUGAUUUUGCUUCACACUAUCUUGAUCAAGAUAGUGUGAAGCUUUUGAGAAUUUGUAGUUGCCCUCCAUUUGUUGAAGCUUUUGUUGGUGAAGCUUUGUAGGUGAAGCUUUUGUUGGGUACCAUGAAUUGAUUUUGCUUCACACUAUCUUGAUCAAGAGUGUGUGAAGCUUUUGAGAAUUGUAGUUGCCCUCCAUUUGUUGAAGUUGUUGAAUUUCCCAAUUUCCCUUCUUAUUUUUUUUUUUUUUGGGAAAAUUUGAAAUUUGAAAAUGUGGGAGAGACAACAUAUACAAAUUUUGCUUCCACACUAUUGAGCAAGAGAUUGUGAUGCAAGCCACACCUUGUAGUAGUCGAAGGUUUGGAUGAACCAUAUAAAUUGAAUUUGCUUCAAACAGUCUUGAUCAAGAUUGUGUGAAGCUUUCUACGAGUUGUAGUUGCCCUUCAUUGAUGAAGCUUUUGUUGGCACCAUAAAUUGGUUUUGCUUCACACUGUCUUGAUCAAGAGUGUGUGAAGCUUUUGAGAAUUGUGGUUGCCCUCCAUUGAUGAAGCUCUUGUUGGCACCAUAAAUUGGUUUUGCUUCAUAUUGUCUUGAUCAAGAGUGUGUGAAGCUUUUGAGAAGCUUUUGAGAAUUGUGGUUGCCCUCCAUUGAUGAAGCUCUUGUUGGCACCAUAAAUUGGUUUUGCUUCACACUGUCUUGAUCAAGAGUCCUUUGAUGAAGCUCUUGUUACCAUAAAUUGGUUUUGCUUCACAUUGUCUUGAUCAAGAGUGUGUGAAGCUUUUGAGAAUUGUGGUUGAACUCCUUUGAUGAAGCUCUUGUUGGCACCAUAAAUUGGUUUUGUUUCACACUGUCUUGAUCAAGAGUGUGUGAAGCUUUUGAGAAUUGUGGUUGCCCUCUAUUGAUGAAGCUCUUGUUGUCAAAACGCUUUUAAUGAUCGAGUUGGAGGCAGAUUGUCUGCCCUCCCAUUACCAUGCCCUUCCCAUCCCCUCCUACAUUGUGUGGUCACGGUUAAGCCACAUCAACAUUUUAUAUUGAUUUUUUUAUAGAGAUAAUAAGCUAUGUUGACGUGGCUUAACCGUGACCGCACAAAUAGGAGGGGAUGGGAAGGGCAUGGUAAAAGAAGGGCAGACAAUUUGCCUCCGAUCGAGUUAGCAACAAAUACACUUUGAUUGAGUCGUGGUCCCGUGAUGUUGUGGAUGGUUGGAAACUUGGGAUGAGGGUGCCUUACUUUGUCGUUGUGGAGAUGAGUCAACCGUGGUUUCCUUCUUGGCUUAGUUAUUAUUGUGUAUGUUUGUGUCGCAUAGCAGUUUGUGUGGUCUUACUUUUAAGCAACGGCUCUGUGUGAUCCUCGGAUACGUCACUACUGAUCUUUGCAAUUUAAUUAAUUGUUUGCAAUGAAGAAUCAAUAGCGAUUUUAAGAGAGACUACCACGCUCCAUGAUUAGUGCCUAUCAUCUCUAGGCAAAUUCUGACCUUAACUCUUUGUCAUGAUCUCUCUCUACAUAGUUAUUUGAAAAAAAAUUAAUUCUAACUAUAACAUUUGUAUGGAGAAAAUAAAUCAAUCAUCACUAAAUAAAUAAGAAUGUGGACAACAUGUAUUUUCUCCAAUUGUUUAAAUGAUUUAAUAACAAGAACGAAACCGUUUGCAUUUUGUAUUAUAUGCCAAAAGUUGCAUUUUAAGAAAAACCCGGUACCUUAAUAACUCCAUAAGAUAACUCAUUAGAAACAAUGUUACCUACAUUUUAUUCUUCUUUUUUUUUAUAUGAAAUAAAUAGCAAUAUUGGGUUUAUUAUUGAAAAAAAUUAUAUAUACAUAAUAACAAAAUCAUUUAUAUUGAUAAAAUACAUGUAAGUAUUGUAAUCAUAUCUCAUAUUUACACUCAAGUAUAUCAAUGUUACAUAGGUGCAAUAUAAGAUAUUUACCCAAGUUUCAUCGAAAAUGUUACGCACAUGCUUUAAUUAGUUUUGGCAAAAUUCUACGAAAAUUUUACUGUAAACACGGAAAUUCCUGAAACGAAAGAGACAAGAACACGUGUACAAAAUAAUAUUUGUAUUAAUGAUUUAGGGGUUACAAUCUCUUCUACAAAUUUAUCCUCUGAUUCUAUCUUUGAAACGUGUAGAUGUAGUGUUGUUGAUCCAAGGGCCGUCGAGGCUUGAUCUUGGACGAACAGUUGAUGAAUGAUGAACACCUUCUUCAAGGGCCGUCGGGGCUUGAUCUUGAAUGGGUGGAAGUUCUUCAAGGGGCGUUGGAGCUUGAUCUUGAAGGAGGAUUUCACGAAGAACAGAUAGGGCUUUCUUGAUCCUUCGGGAUUUGCUUGAGAGCUUCAGAGUUUCGAGGCUUCAAGGCUUUGGUGUGGUGUGAUUUCUCUUCCAAUUUGGGAGUAGAGAAAGUGUAUCUAAAAUCCUCCCUUGAUUCUUUGAUGGAGGAGCCUAUUUAUAGGCUUUGGGAAUGAACCACCACCAUCCAUUUGUUUUGGUGGAUGUUGUAGGUGAAUUGGUGGAUUGUUGUAGGUGAAUUUGGGUGGAGGUUGUAGGUGAAUUUGGAUGGAUUGUUGUAGGUGAAUUUGGGUGUAUGUUGUAGGUGAAUUUGGGUAGGUGAAUUUGGGUGGAGGUUGUAGGUGAAUUUGGAUGGAUUGUUGUAGGUGAAUUUGGGUGUAUGUUGUAGGUGAAUUUGGGUAGGUGAAUUUGGGUGGAGGUUGUAGGUGAAUUUGGAUGGAUUGUUGUAGGUGAAUUUGGGUGUAUGUUGUAGGUGAAUUUGGGUGAAGGUUGUAGGUGAAUUUGGGUGAAGGUUGUAGGUGAAUUUGGAUGGAUUGUUGUAGGUGAAUUUGGGUGUAUGUUGUAGGUGAAUUUGGGUGAAGGUUGUAGUUUUAAUGCAAUGGUCAACAUUUAUUUCACUAAAAUUUCAAUGUUUACAAAUGUAAUUUUAAUGUGAUGGCUAACAUUUAUUUCAACGAAAUUUCAAUGUCUACAAAUGCCCCCACUUCAAGGCGCGUAGUAUACAUGUGCUUGCCACGUGUAGAAGAUGCGUUUUGAAGUCCCUUAAUGUAGAUGUCGAUCCAAGGGCCGUUGAGGCUUGAUCUUGAACUGGUCUGGGAGUUUCUUCAAGUGCCGUUAAGGCUUGUUCUUGAAUUUUGUUUGAAAUUUCUUCAAGGGCCGUUGAGGCUUGAUCUUGGAUGAAAUUGGACCACAAGGAGCCUCACGUAGUAGACGAUCCUUGGCUUUGAUAAUGGAUGAAUCGGCACGUAUUUUGUUGUGCUUGUUGACUUUCCACAGCUUUGAUCUUGAACUAGGCUGGAGGAGUUUUCUGGUUUCCUCCAACGGACUUUCCACAGACUUAAUCUUGAACUGGAUUUGACUCAAGGGUGGUGGACACUUGAUCUUGAGUCAGGGUCGUUGAGGCUUGAUUUCGAACUUAAACAUGACCACGAGCAGUUUCAGGACAUGCAUGCUUUGAAAGAUCAAGGAAGUUCGCAGCAUUUUCAUAUGAACCCUGAGCAGUUUGGUCAACAGUAUGAUCUUCAAGAUUGAUGGGCUCUUCUUCCAGUUGGUGACUUGAUCUUUAAGGAUUAUCGAGGCUUUGCUCUUCGGUGACGGUGCCAGCGAAGGGUUGUUAAAGCUUCUCGAGCCUUUUGGUUAGAGCAACGCUGUCCAGCUUGGAUCUUUACUUGAACUCAUCCGUCUGGAUUGUGGUGGUUAUGCAGGGAAGGGCUUCAUGCUUCAUGAUUUAUUCCAGCUCGUUGUAUUGCAUUCUUCUCUGCUUGUUUCUUUUGCGUAGCUGAAGCGGUGUGCAACCUUUUGCCUUUAAAUGGUUCUUCGGAGCACAAUCUCUCAGCGACUCACCCAUGCUUGGCAGCUUCAGUGCAAAGCGCCGAUGUUAACAGAUCCACACUCCUGAAGCAUUUGCUGAGGGGAUUCGAGACAUAUCAGCAGUUGAAGAUGAGCACUCGAGAGCAACGCUAGGUAAGUAACCAGGCAAAGGUUCCGGGCAAUCAGUUCCUGGUCGGACAUUUAAUUUCAGGUUCCGACUGAUUGCAUCCUUUCUCCUUGUUCAGCAGGCAAGAGCAAGGGCAAAGGAGAAGAUGGGGGAAGAGCAUGAUAUGAGAUACCUUUGCUUUCGACCCCAGUGAUAUGAGAUACUUUUGCUUUUGAAGAAGUAGCGGACGAUCAGCACAUGCAUUCGUCGUGCUUGUCUCCAUAUGCUUCGAUGCAUCAUCUUCAUCUGCAUCAUCUUCACCUGCAUCAUCAGGAGCUUGAGUGGAGGUUCCGACAUAUUGCUUUCUUUAUCCUUGUCUUCGCAGUGAAGAGGGAGGACAAAGAAAAGGAUAGGGAGAAAGCAUGCUAUGAGAUACUCUUGCUCUCAACCCCAAUGAUAUGAGAUACCUUUACUCUGGUGUGGCUUGGUUGAAGAGGCGUUUCUAGGGAGGAAGAAAACUGAGUUUUGGUUGCAGAUGCCCUCGGCGAGGAAGAAAGGUCAGGCUGGAUGUGUUUUCAGGGAGGAAGAAACUGAGUUUUGGUUGCAGAUGUCUUCGGCAAGGAAGAAAGGGGUCAGGCUGGAUGCGUGUCUUGCUAUGGGAUGGAGGUCGAAUUAUAUGGUGAGCUCUCAACAUCAAGUGGCAGGGCGAGCGUGGCCUUGUCACCCACGCUUGUCGGCAGAAGUGUGGUAGUUGGCAUAAUGGACCUCACGCGUUUUCAACUUUGUCAGUGAUAUCUGACAAAGUUGCACGUGAUAGCCGAAAGCUGAGAUUGUGUCUGAAAAGUGUCGACGGACUUUACGCAGGAAAAUCCGGGUUUUGAAAUUCGGAGAGUGGUGUCUCUUCGAUUUACGAACAAAUGGUUGUGCUGCCUCUCAUUUUUAAGAGGUGUCAAUUGUAUUCAACACGCAAAAUUUGAAGAUUGCCUGCCCGUGAAAAAUUAUCUCUGCUACUCUUUGCUUCAUCCAACCUUUUUCUUUUAGUAUUUUUUGAAAAUGGCUUCCCCUUUUAACAUUUGCUUAGAUUUGAGUCUUAGCAGUGACACAGGUGCAUCGCGUCAGGGUAAUGUAUGGCGCCCGUCUUUUUUUUCUUCUAAUGGCCCUCUUACAGUUGAGGACUCUGUGAUGAGGGAUGCAACCACGGCUACGGUUGUAGCUAGAAACCUCAUCACUCCUAAAGAUAAUAGGAUACUUUCACGACGGUCCGAUGAGUUAGCUGUUCAAGAGUCCCAGGCUCUCAGUGUCCAGUGUGCGAACUCUGUUUCCAACAUGGGCCAACGCUUACUUGCUCGAACUCGCCAGGUUGAAUCAUUGACAGCCGAGGUGGCGGCUCUUAGUCAAGAGAUUAGGCAGCUCAAGCGUGAGAAUGGAGAGUUGCAUGUGCUUGCAAAUAGUUAUUCGACGAGCAUGAAGAGGAAGCUUGAUCAGCUGACGAACUCCGAAGGUCGAAUUCAAAGUGACCAUCGGAAGUUUGUGGAUGUAUUCCGGAGGCACUUUUUGCCUUCGUCAUCUGGAAUUCGACCAAGUAUUGAGGCUCCGAAUAAGCUAUCUUCAGUGCCUCCCUCCUUUAGGGUUCCACCGAGUACCAAGGCUCCAAGUACUGAGGCUUCACACAAGUGACAUUCGUGAAGGCUUUUUUUUUUUUUUUUUUUUUUUUUUUUUUUUUUUUUCGUGUAAUUUCUCGGAGAUAUUAAUGGACAUGCCUUAUUUUAUUCAGUAUGUUGUGUUGAAACGCAAACAAAACGCAUAUCUGACUAAGAUGCAUUACUUCCCUAUGCACCCACUUCCUUUUAGAUGGUGACUAGUGCACCCAUUUCUUUUAGAUGGUGACUGGAAGCAUCAUUUUGUCAUCACCACCCAUUUCCUUUUCCAUUAUUGACUUGCGAAUAGUAAUACACACUCGUGAGUGGCUUGACGAUAGCACAGUUGGUUUUUUUUUUGUGGCCUUCCUCACUGCAUUGCGUUCUUCUCGCAUGCGGACCAUCUUUUCACUUGCACAAUCACCUUAUCACAAUCUUCAUUGGAUGCGGAUUGCUUUUUUACACAGUCACUGUAUCGCAUGCGGAUCACUGUUUGCACAGUCACUGCACUACAUGCAAACCGGUUUUAUUUGCAGCCUGUUGAGACCAAUAUAUAUAUACACACGCAUUCAUACACACAUGCAUACAUACAUAGGGCAUUGCGUAGUCUUUACAUAGACACUGCACCAGCUUACUGCCCUGAAUCUUAAAUGCACUCUCCUGUUUCUUUGCUGCGACGUGCUCUUCUCGUCUGCCGUGUGGUGAGCUCGGUGUUGGACAAAAAGUGGUGCAGCUUCUUCAACCCCAUCACCCUGCAGUCGGUCACGUCUAUGUUCAUCGUGUUCAUCCGAAGUCUUCACUGCGGCAGAGGAAAAGCUCACCAUCAUCAAAAUUAGGGCAGCAACAACAAACUUCAUUAUCCUGCAAGCUUCAGGGAGAGUUGCAUGAGAGUAUGAGGACGGAAGGAUGAAGGACUGCAGCAUGGUUGCUACAACCGCUCGGGCUUCCGUUUAUCGUCCUCGACGGCGCUGCAAAUGUUUCCACCAAUGGAGAAGAGGAAGGAGGGCGCUGCCUUCACUCUAUGAGGUAUGUUUUAUUGCUGAGGAAGGUUUGCCGCAUAUAUAAAUAUAUAUAUAUAUAUUUUUUAUUUUUAUUUUUUAUAUAGUGCUCUGUCAGGCUGAGGUUGCUAAACCGGCGAAGAACCUAGGAAGGCAUCAAAAGUCUGCUCUGCUUGACUCGGUCAGAGAAAGUGAAUGCGAGUGCAGGUUCGAAUGACAAGGCCGUGUUGCUUUCCCCGUCUUCAACCGCUGCAGCUUCAUUCUUGUUGCUACAGGUUCGUCUUUGCUGUGGCUUGGAGAGAGAGACGUCGCUGCAAAGGAGAGAGAGAGAAACACCACAUCUGGAUUCAGAUUUUGUGCAUCUGCAGGUCUUCCUUUCGUUUGUGGGUGACUGUGCAACUUUUAUGAGAGGAAGAAGAAGAGUCAACGGAAAAGAAGGUGUUGCGGACGAGGUCGCGUGGCUGACUUGGAGGUCCACUUGCUUCGGGUGUGCGCACCAUGUGUUGCAGGUGGGGUUUUGCUGUGUAAUGCCUUUUGGUCACAGUUUUCCCUUGGUGGUGACGUUGGCGUAGUGCUCACCUUUGUAAUAUGGCUUUGUAACCAAAUCAUUUCUUUAAAGAAAUAAAAUAUUCAUAUCUUGAAUUGCUAUUUAUUCUUCAAAGUGUUUGUGUUUUUGUUGGUGAUGUGACUGUACUUGAAGUUUUGAAGUUUCAAGUUGCCUACGUACCCCCGGUUGAUGAGGGAUCAAGUCAUAACGUAGUUCGAAUGAACGAUGAUUUUUUUUUUUUAUAGUGAUUUUGAUGAUGAUUUUGCCGUACACAGUUUAUGCUCUUGCGGGCCAGGAGCCUUGUGCCGUGUGCAGUUUAGGCUCAUGCAGGCAAGGAGUCUGGUCGUCGCUUUUUAGGGGUAGUAACGCUUCAAGAAUCUGCCAUUGAUGGGACCGAUCUUCAAGCCGUCCUCUGCCAUGAUUAAGUAGGCGCCGCUUAUGUAGACCUCUUGUAUUACAUACGGUCCAUCCCACUUUGAUGUGAACUUGCUUUUUGUCUUGUGAGUUGUGAUGAUAGGCCUUCGUAAUGCAAGGACGAGAUCUUCAGUUUGGAAAGACCUUGGGCGGACCUUCUUGUUGAAUGCCUUGGAUAGCCGUGCUUGGUAGCAUUCCAGGUGUUGUUGAGCUUCGAGCCUUCUUUCGUCAAGUGAUUCCAACUCUUGAAGGCGCAACUUUGCAUUCUCUUCAUCAGUCAAACCUUCUUGUAUAGCCAUCCUAAGUGAGGGGAUUUGACUUUCUAGCGGUAAAACAGCUUCCACGCCAUAUACGAGAGAAUAAGGGGUAGCUUGGGUAGGAGUCCUAUGCGUCGUCCUAUAUGCCCAAAGUGCUUCGCUUAUUCUUUCAUGCCAGUCCCUCUUUGUUCGGCCGAUCACCUUCUUUAAGAGGUUGCACAAUGUUUUGUUGAAUGCUUCCGCUAGACCGUUGGCCGGAGCAUGAUACAUGGAAGACUUAUGCUGCUUGAACUUGUAUUUCUCACAGAGCUCGUCUACAAGUCGGUUGGAGAACUGUUUUCCAUUGUCCGUGAUAAUGUAACGAGGCACACCAUAUCUGUGGAUGAUAUGUUCUUUGAUGAAACGGACAACAGUUUCCUUUUUUUACUUCCCUUAGGGGUAUGGCUUCAGCCCACUUGGAAAAGUAAUCUGUUGCAGCUAGGAUGUAGGCUUCUCCUGCAGAUGACUUUGGAGUAAUUGGUCCCACGACGUCCAGUCCCCAUGCAUCGAAUGGCCACGAAGCAGUUGUAGGGUGUAAUGGUUCAGGUGGUUGAUGUAUGAAGUUGGCGUGGAAUUGGCAAGCUUGGCACCUUUUGGCAUGUUCCAGGCAAUCCUUCACCAUACUUGGCCAGUAGUAACCCAUUCUUUUGAGCUGGAAAUGUAGCUUUGGUCCAGAUUGAUGCGCCCCGCACACGCCUGAGUGCGCUUCUUCCAUGGCUUGAUUGGCUUCUUCCUCACCUAGGCAUCUCAGAAGUACUCCUUCGAAAGAGCGCCGGUAGAGUGUUUCUUUGUAGUAGAGGAAGCGAGGUGCUCGUCGACGUAUUUCAGAGCGGUGUCUAGGAUCAUCAUUUGGAAGUUUUCCAUACUCUAAGUAGUCAAUCAAUGGUUGUCUCCAUUCUUCAACAUCGACUGGAAGUACCGAGAGAUGACAUUUGUAUCAUCUAGUAGCAUUUCGGUGGCGAGGGGGAUGACCCAUCUUUGGCAAACUGGCACGUCUGCCGCUUCGUCUUCUCCUAGUGUCAUACUCGAGGCUAGGUUAGCGAGAGCGUCUGCCAUUUGAUUUUCUUUUCUCGGCACAUGUUUCUAGUGUUACGGCCUCGAACUUUUGUAGCAGCUGAGUUGCCAGUCGGAAGUACGGGACGAGAUCGUCUUUUCUCACCUCAUAUUCAGUCAAGAGUUGACUAAUUAUGAGCUUGGAGUCGCCAUAUACCUCGAGGGUUGUGAUUUCCAUGUUGAUCGCCAUUUGGAGCCCGAUGAUUAGUGCUUGGUACUCAGCGACGUUGUUGGAGCACAAUUCGCUUAGUUGGAAUGAAUAAGGUAGUAUUUGCCUUUGUGGCGACAUGAAUACUACUCCUGCCCCCGCUCCGUCUGCUCGUGCAGAUCCGUCGAAGAACAUCGUCCAUCUCGGGAAUAUGUCAAUGUAGAAUACCUCCUCGUCAGGCAAGUCGUCUGAGAUUUUCCAAUCGGCUGGGAUUGGAUGAUCGGCAAGGAAGUCUGCUAAUGCUUGUCCCUUGACGGCUUUAGCUGGGACGUAAAUGAUCUCGUAUUGAUUGAGAAUCAACGCCCAUUUAGCUAGUCGCCCUGUCAAAACUGGCUUGGACAUGACGUAUUUAACCGGGUCGGCUUUAGCAACCAAGUGGAUGGUGUAAGCAUGCAUGUAAUGUCUAAGCUUCUGGAUGGCAAACACCAAGGCAAGGCACAUUUUUUCUAUUGGGGAGUAGUUCAACUCAGCGCCGGUGAGUGUUCGACUCAAGUAGUAAAGCGCUCCUUCUUUCUGGAAUUCAUUUUCCUGUGCCAAGAGUGCUCCCACUGAACUUUCCUGAGCGGCGAUGUACAAUAUGAGUGGUUUCCCGGGCACAGGCGCCCCCAGGACAGGUGGACUUGAUAAAUAUUUUUUUAUGCUUUCAAAAGCGUUGUGGCACGCUUCGUCCCAUACGAACGGGACAUCCUUUUUCAUGAGUCGACUAAACGGUUGACAACGCCCUGCAAGGUUGGAGAUGAAGCGUCUGAUGAAGGCUAGUCGUCCUUGUAGGCUUUUCAGCUCGUGCAGGUUUCUUGGUUCGGGCAUGUUUCGAAUGGCCUUGAUCUUUGAUUGGUCCACUUCAAUGCCACGGUGCUUGACAACGAAGCCGAGAAACUUUCCUGAGGUGACGCCAAAUGCACAUUUUAACGGGUUCAUCUUGAGGUUGUAUUUUCGCAGCCUUUCGAACACUACUCGCAAAUCCUUCAAGUGAUCUGAUCUUUUCUUUGUUUUGACCACCACAUCGUCUACAUAACAUUCUACGUUUUUGUGUAGCAUGUCAUUGAAGAUUUUCUGCAUUGCUCGCUGAUAUGUGGCUCCAGCGUUCUUUAGACCAAAGGGCAUCACCUUGUAGCAGUAGAUACCUUUUGGAGUGCGGAAUGCUGUUAGUUCCUCAUCUUCGAGAGCCAUACGAAUUUGAUUGUAUCCAGAAGAGCCGUCCAUAAAUGACAGUGCCUCAUGGCCAGUGGUCGCGUCCACCAUGAUUUCGAUGAUCGGCAAGGGAAAGUCAUCUUUCGGGCAAGCGUCAUUGAGGUCCCGAAAGUCUACACAAACUCGUAUUUGUCCAGAUUUCUUAAGGACGAUGACGAUGUUGGAGAUCCACUUAGGGUAUUGCACCUCUCGAAUGAAGCCUGCUUCGAUUAGCUUGUCAAUCUCUACCUCAAUUUGUGGAAUGAGCUCGGAUCGAUAGCGCCUUUGAGUUUGCUUUAUUGGUCUCGUUCCGGGCUUAACUGCAAGAUGAUGUACAGCGAUGACAGGGUCAAGGCCGGGCAUUUCCUUGUAAGUCCAAGCAAAGACGUCUUUGUACUCUGAUAACAGUUGGUAAUACUCGUCUACCUCGUCCGCACUUAGCAACGCACUUACGAAGAUAGGUCUCUGCUCCUCUUUUGUGCCUAAGUUGAGUUCCUUGAGAUCAUCGACUGUGGAUUGCCCCCCAUCCUCCAGUUGUGGUGGCGCAGCAGUGACACCUUCUUCGGGGAUCUCAUCUUCUUCGCUUUCUUGGAUCGUGAUGUGGAAGACAUCUUGGAAUUCCUCUUCGGUGUCGUCCUCUUGGGCUGGUCGGCAUGAAGAUUGUCCAGUGUGGAUGAUGGUGCGCCUUCUUACUUUUAGUGGUCCAUUUGUGUCCACCUCCAAGAUUGCUUGGCGCUUCAUCCUUGAAGGAAUUGAGCUUCGAAUAUCACAUUUUUCUGCUAUUAUGACGAGCUUUUCUUCCUUUGACGUGGUCUUCCUAUUUCUAGAAAACUUCUUGUUGUCUUCAAGUCUUUCCAAAGCUGACUGACGAGGAAGAGAGCUAGUCGUGUUGCUUUGCUUCUUAGGUUUUGACAACCUUUCAAAAAACAGAGCUUUGGGAUGCUAGCAUGUUAAGUCUCUUGAAGACGGAGGUUCGGUUUUGACCACCAAUGCGGUUAAAUGCUGACAUUCUGGGUUUUGAACGAUUCAUCCUAUCGAAGACUGACGUCCAAGGGGUGGAUUUAGGCUCAUCAUGAUCUUGUUCAAUACUCACGCUGAUGUGUUGAGUGCUAGCGUUUUUCGCUUUGCUUGAAAUCUUCACGGGUGCGUUUGGUGUGAAAGCCUAGUCCAGCUUUGUUGUUAUCAAACUCCGUAACCGUGCUUCUUCAACUUCCUUUGAGUCUCGGUGAGGUCACGUUCUUUAUUGUUAACGGUGUUUGAAACCUUCUUUCCAUGAUUCGAAGAAGAAGCAAAGUCGUAGCCAGCUUUCGACAUGAGUUUAUAGGCGUUUGGAUCAAAACCUUCUUCGGUCCUCUGGGUUGGGAGAAAGCUUGGUUCCACCCCCUUUGGUAGAGCUUUUAUGAAGCCUUGUGGUAGUCUUGCGACCUUAGUGCCGCCUAGCUGUGUCAGAGGUAAAACUGCAUUCGUCUUGAGCAUCUUUACAUUAUCCAUAUACCUCUGUGCAUCGGCUUUGUUUGCUCCAGUUUCGAACGGGGAUUGACCAUUCUUUCUUCUCGACAUCGGGAUGUAUCGGAAGACGGGUGUGUUUGGUCCAUUUGAGGGCGUCUUACUCUCCUUUGUUGUUGCACGUUUAGCCAGCUCAUUAUCGUUCUUGCUUGAAGACGGCGUAACUUCUUCUUCUUGCUUCUUGGGCAUGGCUUGUCGUUCCUGCUUUUUAGGUGUUGCUUUGCCCGUGGAUUUGAUCUCUUUUGGAAGAGCUUCGGGCACCAUGUCUUCAUCCAUGUAGAACUUGGCGUCUGCGAAAUGUGAUUCGGCUUCAGUGAAUGGUUUGGUGUCGCCAUAGAUCACCUUCACUCCUUCUCGGUAGAAUUUUAAGCAUUGGUGAAGGGUGGACGGUACUACUCCAUUCGCAUGGAUCCAAGGCCUUCCUAAGAGUAAGCCGUAGGAAGUUCUUGCAUCAAUCACGUGGAAUAUCGUGCUCGACUUGAGUUCGCCAAUAGUCAUCUCCACUCGGAUCAUGCCCAUCGCUCUUUGUCCUCCUUGAUUAAAACCUUGGAUUAGUAGACGACUUAGGGACAGUUCAUCCGCCUUGAUGCCGAUUGUAAUCAUUGUCGACUUUGGCAUGAUGUUUAUGGCUGAUCCACCAUCCACAAGCAUGCGGUUGACUUUGUGCCCCUUUACAUACCCAGAGACGAAGAGAGGACGGUUGUGAGGCUUGGAUCCUAGCAGCAAGUCUUCGUCGGUGAAAUGGAUUGCGUCCUCUAUGGCACAAACAUGUGGCACAUUCAUGUGGCCGAAGCUUCAAGUCUUCGUUCUUGCUUUCUUGCACUUCAUGUUCAUUGGGACUUUCCAAGGCCGCUGCUAAUGCUAUUCGCAUCUUCUUUGGUAAUCGUAGCGCUUCCUCAAUGCUAAAGUGUGUUGGCAGACCUUCUUCGAGCGUGAGAGUUUUUUCUCCCUCAGUGGUGGUAUCUUUGCUUUUUGAAGGUUCUUCCGUUUCUACUUCGACCAUAUGGCAUGCAGCGAUGGUGCACUGUUGGAAGAAGUCAUUCGGGAAGUACUCGCGCAAGGAGACAGGAAUGCGUGGCUCUUGCUCCACGGGUUCCCCAGCAUACGUUGGCUUAUCGACUUUUACGUUUUCUUUAGGCUUCCUACUGUUGCGGCGACGGUGUUUUCUCACUUGUUCCACCUUUGGUCUUGUGGCUUGUGGUUUUGGUUUCCUUGUUUUUUUGUAGGUCACCAAUGUCCAUCCUUCAUCAUCAUCGGUAUACGCAUCUUGUUCGUUUGCCCCCGGCGAUGGUUGUGUAGAAGGCGCCGUGUAGCUUGCACAUUGAUAGGAAUGGUUGGGUGUCGUUUGGAGAGGCACGGGAUCGAAGGAUCCGAACGCCACUGUAGUAGUAUGUGUUGCGGCUGUGUCCUCAAGGUCUAGCUCGAUUCUCCCUUGUUGCGCUAGCUUCAUAAUGAGUUCUUUGAGGACGAAGCAUUUGCCCACAUGAUGGCUUACGAUACGAUGGUACUUGCAGUACCUAGGAUCGUUCGUUCGAUUCAUUUCUUCAGGGCGCUUGCACUCUGGUAACUCAAUUACCUUCUUUUCCAGCAAGUCAUCUAACAUUGCAUCCACGUCUGAGUCAGGAAAAGGGUACGUCUUUUGCUCCAACUCUCUCAAGGUGUUUUUAUACUUGUCUUGGGUGCGAGGAGGCUCACUUCUUUUUGUCUCCUUUGCCUUGGUCUUGGAGGAAAUCUUGAUAGGUGCAGAGGUGGUCUUGAUAGGCGCGGAUGGGGUUUUGAUGGGGGUAGUGUUGACAGUAAAAGUUUCCUUUGCAGGCUUUUUUCCGGUCUUGUCCACACUCGGGGCGAACACCUUAUCCUUCUUGAAGUGGGUGAUCGGCUCAUUCUUUCCGUGAUUGGCGAUACUCAGCUCCAUGUCGUGGGAGCGCGUUGCCAGCUCCUCAAACGUUCUUGGUUUUAUGCCUUGGAGAAUGUAAUGUAACCCCCAGUGCAUGCCUUGAACACACAUCUCAAUGGCAGAGGUUUCAGAGAGCCGAUCUUUGCAAUCCAGACUUAAUGAACGCCAUCUAUUGAUGUAGUCGACGACGGGUUCCUCCUUCCACUGUUUCGUACUGGUCAGCUCCAGCAUGCUUACGGUGCGGCGCGUGCUGUAGAAACGGUUGAGGAAUUCCUUUUCUAGCUGAUCCCAACUGCUGAUAGACUCGGGCUCGAGGUCGGUGUACCAGUCAAAGGCGUUGCUUUUCAGCGAGCGCACGAACUGCUUGACGAGGUAGUCUCCCUCUGUUCCAGCAUUGCUGCAGGUUUCAAUGAAGUGGGCGAUAUGUUGCUUCGGGUUCCCCUUUCCAUCGAACUGCAUAAACUUUGGUGGUUGAUAGCCCUUUGGCAUCUUCAAAGCGUCAAUCUUCUUGGAGUAGGGCUUUGAGUAUAGUACGGAAUCAUGUGAGCUUCCUUCAUACUGCGCCUUGAUGGUGUUGGCGAUCAUCUCCUGCAGCUGCUGGAUAGAGAGAGACCCCAUAAGUGUCGCCGCUUGGUCUAGCUUCAGCGUCUCUUCGACGUUCUCCACUGGAGGUUCCUCAUCCUCGUCGUUUUCCUUCUUUACCGGAUUAUCCCCUUGCCUGGCUUUCUCAUCGGGCUUUGCAUCUAGUUGGUUAACAAGUGCUGCGAUUUGCAGGUCUUUUUCCUCCACAGUCCUUGUGAGCUUUGCGAUUGCUUCGUUCAUCUGAGCCAGCUGCUCCUCAAUUGAAGUUGUUCCGGUAACCAUGACUUGCAUAGCUAUGCCGCUGCUCGAGUCGGCAUCGGAAAGUAAGGAUUCAGAGUACUUCCUCUGGCUUUCCUCUCUUGGCGCCCUGAGCGAGGCCAGGGUGAUCACCGGUUCGAACCUCGGGUGCUCUUGUGCCUUCGGCGGAGUUGAUGAAGGGGCGAAAGAGGCGGCGGAAAGAGCUUUUGCCUUACUUCGAGUUAUGAUGCCUGAAGUGAUGCCCCCUGUCGUGAUGACGCUCUUGUUUCUUGCAUUGGCAGCGAGAACAACUUGGGCCUUCCUUGACGCCAUUUGUGCUUGUUGCGGAUUCAAAGAUAGAGAUGAGAGGUAGAGACUGUCCCACCGAGCGUGCCAAAUUUGUAAACACGGAAAUUCCUGAAACGAAAGAGACAAGAACACGUGUACAAAAUAAUAUUUGUAUUAAUGAUUUAGGGGUUACAAUCUCUUCUACAAAUUUAUCCUCUGAUUCUAUCUUUGAAACGUGUAGAUGUAGUGUUGUUGAUCCAAGGGCCGUCGAGGCUUGAUCUUGGACGAACAGUUGAUGAAUGAUGAACACCUUCUUCAAGGGCCGUCGGGGCUUGAUCUUGAAUGGGUGGAAGUUCUUCAAGGGGCGUUGGAGCUUGAUCUUGAAGGAGGAUUUCACGAAGAACAGAUAGGGCUUUCUUGAUCCUUCGGGAUUUGCUUGAGAGCUUCAGAGUUUCGAGGCUUCAAGGCUUUGGUGUGGUGUGAUUUCUCUUCCAAUUUGGGAGUAGAGAAAGUGUAUCUAAAAUCCUCCCUUGAUUCUUUGAUGGAGGAGCCUAUUUAUAGGCUUUGGGAAUGAACCACCACCAUCCAUUUGUUUUGGUGGAUGUUGUAGGUGAAUUGGUGGAUUGUUGUAGGUGAAUUUGGGUGGAGGUUGUAGGUGAAUUUGGAUGGAUUGUUGUAGGUGAAUUUGGGUGUAUGUUGUAGGUGAAUUUGGGUAGGUGAAUUUGGGUGGAGGUUGUAGGUGAAUUUGGAUGGAUUGUUGUAGGUGAAUUUGGGUGUAUGUUGUAGGUGAAUUUGGGUAGGUGAAUUUGGGUGGAGGUUGUAGGUGAAUUUGGAUGGAUUGUUGUAGGUGAAUUUGGGUGUAUGUUGUAGGUGAAUUUGGGUGAAGGUUGUAGGUGAAUUUGGGUGAAGGUUGUAGGUGAAUUUGGAUGGAUUGUUGUAGGUGAAUUUGGGUGUAUGUUGUAGGUGAAUUUGGGUGAAGGUUGUAGUUUUAAUGCAAUGGUCAACAUUUAUUUCACUAAAAUUUCAAUGUUUACAAAUGUAAUUUUAAUGUGAUGGCUAACAUUUAUUUCAACGAAAUUUCAAUGUCUACAUUUACAAAACCACUUUUUUCGCAGAAUUUUUUCCACACCACAAGCUUGUUAAAAUUCUUGCUAAACAAUGUAAAGAAGUUUGGAAACGAUACUAAUUAAGGUUUCCUUACUGGCUUUACAAAUUGCAUUUUUCACCAAAAUUGUUGCUCACGUUUAUUAAUCGAUUUUUCUAAAUAAAAAAACAACAAUUCAUUUUAGAACUAAGCCGAUCUGUUUACACAUGUGUAUGUGUAAACUCCAUAUAGUCAACACACAGACAAUGUUUCAUACGUUAUCUUGAACUAGCAUCUUGUCACAUGCAUACGCAUGCGACAAUUUGCCUUUGUAUGUUAAAUUAAAGUUUUAUUAUGAUUUUUUACAUAAUAAAUUAAGAAAUUCAAUUUUUGUUAUUUAUAUAUUUUUAUUAAUAAUAUUUUUGAAAAUAAAUUAGAAGUUAAACAUAAACCGUGGGGUUUUGCUAUUUUUUUCUUUCUAAAGUUUAAAAUUUUAAAUUCGUUCAAAAUUAAUAUUUGUUGAAUUAUUUUAACUCCUUUUAAUUCAAUAGUAAUUUAAAAAAAUUUAGAGGCAAUUUAUGGUAUUUUGAAAAGGAAAACUAAUGAAAAUGACUUGAAAACUUUGAAUUUUAAUGAUAAUGACAAAAUAAAGAGUAAAAUGAAUAGUAUCAAGAUUGACUUUUUUGUGUAAAAAUGUGGUUUUUCGUUAAAGUAAACAGUACCGAGAGCUUUUCGUUAGUUCCCAUUUUGAAAUUAACCUGCAUGCAUGCAGUUUGACUACUUUGGCCUCCCAGCCAUUCGGUUCUUGUCCAUUUUUUCCACCCUGUUAUGAAAGUGAAAUAUACCUAUACUGUACUACGAGAACAUGAGACAUGCAGUGUUACUUUCAACAGGUGGCACGCCUUGCUACCUCACACUUAUCCUCCUUGAUCAAUCCAUAUCUACACAUUCAAUCAACUCUUGUGCAUUACGUACGUCGCUAUGCUUUUUCAAAAGUCUCUCUCAAUUUCAUAAAAAUUGCAGAGCUGGGUGUAGCUACAUAAGCUGCAAAAGCACAAAUAGAAAUAUUAUUGCUUAUAUAAAAGAAUUCAUACAACUUUGUUUUUUUUUUUUUUUUUUGCGACCAUUCGGUUAAAUUUUGUUUUGCAUGUAUUAGGGUAAAGGGAGUGUGAUAUUCUCUCCUUCUAAUCUCUCUCCCCUUCCUUCCCAUCCUAUUUGAAUAGUUAUGAUUAAAUCACAUCAACAUCUUAUAUUGAUUUCCUUAUAGAGAGAGAAAGACAAAGAUGAAAGGAAAAUGGGGAGGCACUAGAAGAAAAAAGCUCAUCUAUCACGGUGAAUACCCGUGAUAAAUUGCAAUCUACCACGGACACUGUGCCCGUUAGUAUUCUGGAUGUGAUAAAAAGUCUCAGUUUCUACCACAGGCUAUGUCCGUUGUCAAAUGCAAUAUAACCACGGAUUGUACCCGUGGUAGAUUGAGAUCUAACACCACAUGCUAUGACCGUUGUCGAUUACUAAUUGACCACAUCUAAUGCCCGUUAUAAAUUAUUUUCCAAAAUUAAAAAAAAUAUAUUUAACAAAUAUAUAUAUAUAUAUUGAUUUAUUUAUUUAUAUAUUUUAGUACAGAAUAAUCAACAAAAUUGCAUAUUUACUACAAUAUAAUAAUUACAUAAAAAAAUACUUGAUAAUAUUAUAACAUAAUUUAAAAAUACUUGAGUUUCCAAAUGAAUACAUAAACAACAAAAGUCAUAAAGUACUAUCCAUGUAGUGCCUAAUGAAUACAUAAACAACGGAAGUCAUAAAAUACUAUCCAUGUAGUGCCAAAGUACCAUUUUCUAGUCUAAGUACGAACUAAAAUUACUCUCCAACUCAGACGUACUUUGAUGGCCAGGCAAUUGUACUAGAUAUAGCAUCCUCCACGACACGAAAUUCACUUGUAGGGCGGUACAAAGAUAUAUUCUCCACUCUUACCCAAACUUUCCAUCAAUCAGGAUCAAGCACCAUGUGAUGAACUUUCACCUCAGGAUUUGUUGAUUCUAUUUCUCCAGUUGCAACAACUUGUCUAUUUCCGAGCCAAUUUAGUAACUUGCAUGAAGACCCUCGUAAAAUACCAACAGGUUUAACUAGCAUAAAGAAACCAAAUAAGAACAUCAAUUUCAAAUGAUUAAGUUAUCAAACUAUUUAACAAUUAUUAUCAAGCGUGUGUUACUACCUGAGAAGUGGCUUUAGACCUUUCUUUUCUCUUAAUGCUGUCUCUUUCUAUGUUUGGACUACUUCUCUGUGACAAUCGAACAUGGAAGACACAAAAUUCGAACAACUUAUAUCAAAAUAUCAUAAGUUUCAUAAGCUAACUAUUUAGUACUUGUUCUCGUAUACUUGGGAACUAGCUUUGGAAGCUUGUCUAGAAGCAUCGUCAGCUUCUCGUGCACUUCUUCUAUCACAUUGUAUCUAAUAACAAAACAAAAACAGUUGAAUUAUCAACAUCUGCUAUGUCUUAAUAUAUUAAUUUGUACACAGGAAUGGCCUCACAAAACAAAAAUAAUUUAAUUAUCUAAUAACAAAACAGAAAUUUGCUCUGCCGCCGAUGGAGCCACAAAGAAGGAAAUUGGCCGAGCAAAAGAAUACAUAUUGAAACAACUGGGAUUAGAGAAUGGUUAGUGGAGAUGCAAACAAUACAUGCUGGGGACUUUAUGGUGAAAUUUUUUUUGUGAAAAAGGUAGAGAAAUUCAUACAAAAAGACACAUAGAAACCAUCUUCUUAGCAAUCAAUAUUAUAUAAAAAAAAAAAGUGAACAAGCAUUUUCUUUACAAUGUUUACACUAGUAUAGUCGAAUUUGCAGUUUCAAUUGAUCGAAGUAUUACUACUGCAUAUCUUUUUUCCUUAUAUAUAACUGGUUCGUGCUCUGUGUGUGUGUGUAUAUAUAUAUAUAUAUGCACGUGUAUAAAUAGAGUAAAGCAGAACGUAAACUUCAUGGGCAAGUCAUCAAAAUCUGAACAAAUAGUUUUCAAUUCAACAACCACAAAUUCAAAAAGCAUUCCAGCCGAUGGCUACAUACCCCAAUCGCAAUCAUGCAUAUACAAAUCACAAAUUCAAAACCCUAGCUCCCAAAUUAACCAGCUCAAAAUCUGAACGAAAAUUGAAUUAAUUUAAAUUAAAACCUGCUAAGAAUAGGAGUGCUGACCCUCGCAAACAGGGCUUUCAUCGAAGUUCUUAGAGGGGUACUUGGCGGAGACCAUGCCGACCUCGAACACCAAGUUGUCGCCGCUCGACCGGAUUCCCGUGAUCGACCACCACUGGAAGAAGGCCCGGACGCUGAUGCCGUUGAUCUUGGCGAUUUAUGACGAUUCGAAGAUGAGGGGGAAGGGUGGAUGGAUGACGAGUCGAUGAGGAGAAGAGAUGAGGGUUUGGUGGGUUGGUGCAGAGGAGUGGAGGGAUAUGGGAAGGUGGGGGAGAUAGAGGACGAUAAAAAAGGAUUGACGGUUUCUUUUUAGGGUUUUCGUCCAGUUUCACGUGAGGGGAAAAUAAUUGGGAUUUUAGAUUUUAAUAUCUUUCAAAAUAUUAAAAAAAAACAAAAAAACAUCCACCACGGGCCAAGGGCGUGGUGAAUUGUCAAAAGGUGGUGUGUGGUCGUUUGAAGUAACCACUACGAGCAUAUCGCGUGGUGGUUUUGAUAUUCCAUUAUGGGAAUAAAAACCGUUGUAAAUUAUUCACUUUUAACAACGGGCCAGAACUUGACCGUGGUGGAUUAAUGUUAUCUACCAUGAGCUACACUCGACCGUGGUAAUGAAAUAGUUUCUACCACGAACUGUUGAUGCCCGUGAUGGAAUUGAUGUGGUAAAUAUGAUGUUAUGUACUUGUGAGGAUUAGGGCGGGAAAAGAAUCGUAGUCCAAGGUAAAGAACUCAUUCACAUGCAAGAUUCGACUCCAUUAUUAAUCAGCCGUUGGAUCUUGAACUCUCUAUAAGUAUUAAACAAAAUGAGUCCAUCUAUCUCACCCAAAAAUCAAUAAAAAAUGAUUCCUUCAGAAAUAGCCAUCCUAAUCCUUGUAUUCCUUACCUUCCUGUGGUCUAUCCUCUGCAUCCUAAUCAAUGCCUUCUCAAGGCAAAGCCGAAAACUACCUCCUGGCCCUAGGGAACUACCAAUCAUUGGCAAUCAUUGGCAAUCUUCAAGUUUUAUUGUUUUUUACUCUCUUAAUCAUCAAGUUUUAUUGCUAUUCACUUUCAAGGCAAAGCCAAAAACUACCUCCUAGCCCUAGGGCACUAACAAUUUUUUACUCUCCUCACCAUAUAAUAAUUCAACAACGCCAAGUGAUUCUCUUGUGUCUUUUCUAAAAUCAACAAACACUAGUGAAUCAAAUUUUAGAAUAACCUAGUUUAACAAUAAAUUAUUGAAAAAGAAAAUUUAAAUUCAAAGUUAUGGUUACCUCAAAUUACAAUCUUCAGGACCAAGUGAUAGUUGCUUAAACAUUCAAUAGAAAUAGAAAGACUGGGAAGUUAAAAGAAAAAUGAUUACAAAAUUAUGAUUAUUUUGGUUUUUGUUAUUUUUUUAGGUUAUUUUCAAAAGCAAAAGAAAAAAAUGCAUUUGGAUAUAUUAAGGCCAUUAAUUUCAGUAGCUUCUUGUCACACACGUGGGUGUGUGACAAUUGACCUUUGUAUGUUUUUUAUUUAAGAAACUCAAGUUUUUUCUAUUUAUACAAUUUUUAUUUAAAAUAUUUUUGAAAAUAAAUAAGAAUUUAAACAUAAACCACCCACUAACAUGAGGUUUUGUUAUUUUUUUUCUAAAGUUGAAAAUUUUAAAUUCAUUCAAAAUUAAUAUUUAUUGAAUUAUUUUAGCUCCUUUUGAUUUUUGAUUUUAAAAUUUUUUAGGAGCAAUUUAUCUUUAAUUUUAAUCUUUAAUUUCAUAGAUUUGAAUUUUAACUCCUUUUGAUUCUUGUAAUUUUAAAAUUUUUUAAGAGCAAUUUAUCUUUAAUUUUAAUCAUUAAUUUCAUAGAUUUGAAAAAAGCAAAAACUAAUGCCUACAAGGUGUUUCGAACUGCCCACCCCAAUGAAAACGGAGUGGAACCGUUUCCACUGCACCAACGAAAUAAUUGUAAUGUUUCUUAUGUUUCCACUGCACCAACGAAAUAAUUGGGGGCCCUAGACGACCGCCUACCUCGGCUACCCUCAAGGCCGGCCCUGACUAGAACAAGACAUGUUACUUUCAAAAGAUGGCACACGUAUCCUCAUGUUGUCCAUAUCCAUCCAUAUUCAAUCAACUCUUGUGCAUUCUUCUUCAAAAUUCUCUCUCAAUUUCAUGAAAAUUACAGAAGUAGGAGGGUAAAGGGAGUAGAAUUUUAUCCCCUCUUUAUCUCUCUUUCUUUCCCUUCUUUCUAAUUUGAACAGUUUACAAUUAAACCAUGUCAACAUCUUUUAUUGACUUCUUUAUAGAUAGAGAAAGACAAAUAAAAAAGUGUGAGAGAAUGAAAGAAAAAAAUGGAAGGAAUUAGGAGUGGAGACAAUCCUAAUAGAGGUUAAAGAACUCAUUUUCCACAUGCUGGCAUUGGGUAAUAUAUCAAUCAGUUGUUGGAUCUUGAACUCUCUAUAAGUAUCAAACAAAAUGAGUCUACAUGUAUAUAUAUGUGUGUGUGUGUCUAAUGUCCCAUUUAUCGAUCUCACCCAGAAAUCAUAUAAAAUGAGUCCUUCAGAAAUAGCCAUCCUCAUCCUUGUAUUCCUCACAUUCCUAUGGUCUCUCCUCCGCCUAAUCAAUGCCUCCUCAAGGCAAAGCCGAAACUGCCUCCUGGCCCUACGGCACUACCAAUCAUUGGCAAUCUUCAUAUGCUAGGCAACCUCCCACACCGUAGCCUCCAAAACCUGGCAAAAAAAUAUGGACCUAUAAUGUCCAUGCGUCUAGGGUUCAUACCAACCAUAGUGGUCUCAUCUCCCAAAACAGCAAAGCUAUUCCUCAAAACCCACGACAACAUUUUCGCUAGCUGCCCCAAACUCCAAGCCUCCGAGUACAUGGCCUACGGCACGAAGGCCAUGGCCUUUACUGAAUAUGGCCCAUAUUGGCACCGUAUUCGGAAACUCUACACGCUUCAACUUCUUUGUCCCUCGAAAAUCGAGGGUUUUGCUCCGCUAAGAAGGGAGGAGGUAGGGUUGUUGGUGCAGUCCCUGAAGGUAGCUGCGGAGGCGGGCGAGGUGGUGGAUUUUAGUGAGAAGGUCGGUGAGCUUGUUGAGGGAAUCACGUAUAGGAUGGUGUUGGGGAGAAAAAAUGAUGAUAUGUUUGAUCUCAAGGGGAUUAUUGAGGAAGCCCUAUUCUUGACAGGAGCUUUCAACAUUAGUGAUUAUGUGCCUUUCCUUAGUCCACUUGAUCUUCAGGUAUGUUACCCUUCAUUCUUAAAUACAAACUUGAUAGAUGAAUCAAUAAUAAAACUAGCGAAAUGCUAGGAACACCGUAAAGUAGGGACAUUUAUAAUCAUUGCACACACGCUAUUGCUAAGCACAAAUACAAAGUAGAGGCGUUGCAAAUAAGUGCACACACGUAUGGCAACUGAUUUUAGCACUACUCUUCUAAAAAUAUUUAAACUCUAUUAUUUAGAUGACGUAUUUAGAUGACGUAUGUCAACAAAUAAAGUGAACGAGAUUAAUUCAUAGUUUAGGGAAACCGAGCUCUUUUGGAUGUGCUCUUAAAAUGACUUAAAGUGUUUUUGGUAAAAUUAUUUUUAGAAACAAUCCUUAAUAAAAAUGCUAGCAAAUCUUGGAAAAACACUUAAAUGCUUUCUGGAAGAAGCAAAUAUAACUAGUGCUUCUUGUAGAAAGCACUUCAAAUAUUACUUUUAGAAUCCAAAAACAUUUUUUCUAAAAACGCUUUCAGUCAUUUUAAAAAGUAUAUCCAAACACAGCGAGUAACUAGUUCACAUUCGUACAAAUUAAUCUGAGAGGAAUAUCUGUUUACUUUAGCGAGCUCACUUAUCGUCUUUUUGCUGGUGAUAUGAUUCACAAAGUCAAAGCAUCCACAAAUUGUAAAUGCAAAAUCAUAUGAUUCAUAUCGUAUGGUCCAUUCCAUAGCCUGCUGACGAUAAACUAUCUCCUAAUUAGAGAUGUAAAAAUAUAUUUACAUCUCAUCUCAUUUUAUAGUUUCAAGAGGGGUAGAUGGGAGUUCUAUGCUAAUGAGAGUGAUGUAAAUUUGAGCUUUUAUUUAAUUUUCUCUCUUAGAGUAGCGGAGUCCACCAUACAAAAAAUAUACAUCUAUAUAUAUAUAUAAGUUCUUAUUUAUAUUUUCCAAUCAAUAUUUUCCAUCUUUCUGACCAACUUAAAGUAUUAAAUACAAAUUAUAUACAUCCAUAUAUAUAUAAGUUCUUAUUUAUAUUUUCCAAUCAAUAUUUUACAUCUUUCUGACCAACUUAAAGUAUUAAAUACAAAUUGCUCCCUAUCUUAUGCAUUUGGUUGCCAAUGGCAUCCGGGAUAUUAUUACAAUAGCAAUGGAUUUAAUGCAUAAUUCAUUAUUUUAGGAACCUUAAUUUCUGCAAUCAACUAUACAAAUUUAAAAUAUAUUCAACAUGCUCUUUAAGGGAAGAUCUCCAUUUAAAAAAAAAAAUAGUUGUAGGUCUCACUUCACAUCGAACUUCAAUAAUAAGAAUUGUCUAUAUUUUGUCUCUAUUCAUAGGUCAUUCUUGCAAAAAAAUCAAUUCAAUCCAAAAUCAUUUGGUCAUUUGAUUGUCACGAUGAAAUUUUAAUAUAUGUUUCUUAUAACAUAAUGUUCAUCAAUGUCUUGGAGCUCAAUUAGAUUAAUUGAUGCCUCAAACAUUUUUUAUUUGGCUAAUUUUGCAAGAAUGAUUUAAGAGGUACAACUUGAAAAUAGACAAUUAAGAUAUCAUUGAAGUUCAAUGUAGUAUAGACUCCACAACUAAUCUAAAAAUGAGAAUCCCUUCCCUUAAAAGCAUAUGUUACAUGUAUGUGUUUUUUUUUUCUUAUCCUUCAUAAAGGAUGUAAUACUAAUACUAAGGAUUUUAUUUUACCAUUGAAAAUGAGGAUUUUACAAAAAUUCAAAAGAUAAAAUGCUAGUAAAUAUGUAGAUAUAGAUUUUGAGGCCUUACGUAGUGGGUAAAAUUGAGUUUAAGUCCAAUUUUAUAAGAAUCAAACUCCUAGGGCGGAAAAUUUGCAUUUUACAUGAGUGACUCCGAUUAUUGAGUUUAAUAAUUACUAAUGACUUUAAUUCCAAUAAAUGAUCAACCAUUUGACAGAGAAAAAUAGAGAUUAAUACAUAAAAUAAGGAAAAAAAAGUCCAAUAAUAUUAUAGGAAUCAAACUCAACGUACAUGAUUAUAUAUAGGAAUGAAACUAAACAAAACUAACGUUUCUCUCUGUAAUUGUUCUUUCAUCUCAGAAAAAAGGGUUGCACAUGAUCCCUUAUACCCAUGUGAGAGUGUCACCGUAUGUGCACAUGAUCCCUUAUACCCAUGUGAGAGUGUCACCGUAUGUGCCUAUCCUCACCCAAAAGUUACUCCAAAAAUACAAGAUGUAAUAGCUUUUAUAUAUGCAUUCAUGUCUUGUCCAUUUCAUUGUCUAAUAAAAAUGAUAGCUACAGUACUCAACUAGAAGUACAUAUGAUUGAUUGAUUGUAUGGAAUCUUAACUAUUUCUUCCACUUAGGGAUUGACCAAGCGCAUGAAGAGAGUUAGCAAAACUGUCGACCAACUACUCGAAAAGAUAAUUAAGGAUCAUGAACAAGUUUCCAGAAGUGAGGUACAAGGCAAUCAUCAUAAGGACUUUGUAGACGUGCUGCUUUCAUCAAUCCACCAACCAUUAAACCCCAACGAUGAGGAAGUCUACAUGCUCGAGCGAACAAAUGCCAAAGCCAUUUUACUCGACAUGAUUGCGGGUGCCUUUGACACCUCAGCCACGGCGAUUGUCUGGACCCUGGCAGAACUCUUGAGGCACCCGAAAGUAAUGAAACGUCUCCAAGAAGAGCUCCAGAGUGUGAUCGGGAUGGAUCGAAUGGUGGAAGAAAGUGAUUUGCCAAAGCUGGAUUACUUGAGCAUGGUGGUCAAGGAGAGCUUAAGGCUAAACCCAGUUGCCCCAUUACUAGUCCCUCAUCAAUCCAUGGAGGACAUUACGGUUGAUGGAUAUCACAUACCCAAGAAAUCAAGAGUCUUUAUCAAUAUUUGGACCAUUGGGAGGGAUCCAAGUGUAUGGUCAGAUAAUGUGGAAGAAUUCUACCCUGAAAAGUUUAUGAAUAAUAACGUUGACCUACGUGGACAUGACUUCCAGCUCAUACCAUUUGGGUCUGGUCGAAGAGGGUGCCCUGCUAUGCAAUUAGGGUUAACCACAGUUCGUCCUGUUCUGGGAAACUUGUUGCACUGCUUCAACUGGGAGCUCCCUAGUGGAAUGCUACCUAAAGACUUGGACAUGACUGAGAAAUUCGGCUUAUCGUUGUCGAAAGCCAAACACUUGCUUGCCAUGUCGACCUGUCGCCUGUACAAUGGAAGUUGAUGAUUGGUUUAUUACUUAAGCGUUGAUAGAUGUACUUAUUUCUAUUGGUCACACAUCAUUUAGUUUACAAUUUUAAUCUCUAAAUUUAGUUUCUGUAGCAUUACUCCCUUAAUAUAUAUAUAUAUAUAUAUAUAUAUAUAUAUAUAUAGUAUGUCUAGGCAUAAAUAAACAUUAAUUAACCGUAUAAUUUAGAUUAAUGCAAGUGUCUUGUAGCUCAAUUGAUUAAAAAUAUUAUUCCUUGCCCUUGAGGUCGCUUGUUCGAUUUUCCCUCCCGUAAAAAAUAAUUUGCUUGUCAUCAUGCCCACCUACGUACGUACCGCCUAAACGGUCAACCUUAGUAAGGGGUUGAAAUAAAUGUCUUGUAGUUAUAAUAGUGUUCCUUUGAGUAAUGUUAGAGAGACUAAAUUUGUAGACUAAUUUGCAAACUAAAUGAAAUGUCACAAAUAGGAAAUGAAUAUGUUUAUCAACGUUUAAAUGAUAAUCCAAUUAUCAACUUCCAUAUCAUUUAAUUUACAAAAUUUAAUCUGCCUAUCAUUACUCGUGUUCCUUUUGCCACCUCUGACUAGGAAAGAUUAAAAUAAUUACAUCGUUAAAGUGUUAACCAUAAUACGUUUUUCGUUCUCUUAAUUGAUCUUUAGAAUUAUCUUAUACGUUUUUCAUUCUCUUAAUUGAUGUACAAUUGGAGAUGGUUUAGAUUAAUAUUUCAAUAAUUGCGCCCUUUUUACUUACUUAUCUAAGUUUAUCACUUUAUGUGUGUUUCCCUAGUUUGUUUUGUCUUUUGGGUUUUGCACUUAGGUUUCAUUCAUUCGUUCAUUAUUUCUUUCAUUAUUUCUUUCUUUCCUUCUUCCCACCAUUCUUCUUUCUUUUUUCCCUUUAUAUUUUCUCCACAACUAAAACACAAAAUGUAGAAACUAAAAAUCAAAUAGUCAUCAGACGAGUGCUUAAAUUUUAUUCUCUUAAAAUAUACUUGUUCUCUGGAACUCUCUCAUGUAGCACCCAUCUCGCUAUUUUUUUCUUCUUAUAAUACCACGAUAUGUUGACACCAAAGGAUGAGACAAUAAAUCGGUAUCAAACUUGUCAUUCAUAAGAUUCGAACCUAAGACCUCUCACUUACAAGUGAAUGGUAGUAAAGGAGAAUAUUGUGGUAGCAAAAAUCUAUUGUUUUCGGCCUAGACGAAUUUUUACCUACAAAACAAAUAAACACCUGUGAUCAAAGACAAAGCCCCACACCCAAAGAGUGAGAGGUUUGGCCAAUGGAUCUUCAAUGCCUAAGUCAAUUUCUCUAAAAAGAGAGAGGUUUAGGGCUUAAUUGUGCAGCAAAAGUUUACUAAAAUUUGGUGGAGAAUGGGGUAUUUAUAGGAGCUAGGGUCGCCAUGGAGGAGAGAGAUCUCGCGCUAUGUAUCGUCAUCCAGUUGGCCAAGGUGUGUCAUCCGUUGGAUGGAGUAGGAAAGAAUUAUCCCAAUGAUAUUAUUGAAUAAAUAAUAUCUUAGAAUUAUCUUGUGGAUCCUUGAUUGGAUUUGAUGAAAAUUUCUUGCUUGAUUAUGUAUUGUAGUCAAAUCUCAUAUUUGCACUCGAAUAUAUCAAUGUUACGUAGGUGCAAUUAAGAUAUUUGCCCAAGUUUCAUAUAACCUAUCAGGCACAUGCUUUAACUAGCUUUGGCAAAAUUCUACGAAAAUUUACGAAACCACUAUUUUCAAAGAAUUUUUUUCCACACAACAAGCUUUUUAAAAUUCUUGCUAGACAAUGUAAAGAAGUCUGGAAACGAUAGUAAUGCCAAUUCCAAAGGGCAUUACGUUUUCCUUAUUACUGGCGUAAGGGUUGCAUUUUUCAUAAAAAUUAUUGCUCAUGCUUUUUAAUCGGUUUUUUAUAAACCAACAACAAUUCAUUUUAAAGACUAAGCCGAUCCGUUUACACAGGUAUAUGGUAAACUCCAUACAGUCGCCACACAGACAACGUUCCGUACGUUAUCUUGAAUAAUAGCCAUCGUCCCUUAGGUUAGGUGGAGACAAUCGCUCUGGUAAUGUCUCAUCCGCCAAAACACCAGAAAUUAACCGCAUGCAGUUUGGUUACUUUGGUAUUGCCAGCCAUUUGGUUCUUGUUCAUUUGUUCCUCCAUGUGAUGAACGUGAAAAGUUGAAAACACGGCAUAUAUGUACAACUAGAACAAGACAUGCAGUGUUACUUUCAACAGGUGGCACGUGCUUUGCUACCUCACACUAUCCUCAUUGAAUCCAUAUCCAUCCAUAUUCAAUCAACUCUUGUGCAUUAAGGAUCUUUACGCUUCUUCAAAAUUCUUUCUCUCAAUUUCAUGAAAAUUGCAGAGAGAUGGGCGUAGCUAUUAACAGAACUAUGAAUCUUUAAAGAACACUAUGAACAAGCAGAAAGAAAGAAAACGGAAGAACAAAGUAUAUCUAAUCUCUUAGUAAUGAAGUGUUUUUACAAAGCUUUUCUUACCGAAUGUGAAAAGAUCAAAUGGCUAUAUGUACUAACCAAUCACAAUCUACAAUUACAAUAUUAUCCUUUAACCUCCUUACUCAAUUACAAUCUUAUCCUCUUUAACAAACUCAAUUCCCAACUACCUUUGUAACUAACUUGACUUAUACCUCCUUGCCAGGUGUCAUUGGUUAAUACUCCCCCCUCAAACAUAGCUGGGGAAGUCCCAAGCUAUGGUUGUGAGUUGUUGUGAUCAUUGGAUGUAUGUGCACUUGAAAACUUCAACAUUGCUUGAUGGCUAUCCUGCACCCUGGAAUUGGAAGCUCCCAGUGUAAGAUUAAUACAAUGUUUGACAAAGAUCGGACUGUGAAGACCCUUAGUAAAUACAUCUGCAACCUGCUCUUCAGUUGGGAUAUAAUGCACAGUGAUAUCACCUUUCUGCACUUUCUCUCAAACAAAAUGAAAAUUGGUAUCUAAAUGUUUGAUCCGAGAAUGAAACACUGGAUUGGAGCACAGUGCUAAAGCAGAGAGAUUAUCACAAUGAAGUUUAGGUGGUAUUGGUAUAAACUGAUGCACAUUUUUUAGUAAUGACCUGAUCCAGUAGAUAUCAGCUACACAGUGAGCUAAAGCUUUGUAUUCAACUUCUGUUGAACUUCGAGAUACUGUAGCUUUUUUCUUUGACUGCCAUGAUACAAGAUUAGAUCCAAUAAACACAACAAAUCCAGUAAUAGAUCUCCUUGUAUUUAUAUCGGCUGCCCAAUUAGAAUCAAAAUAUGCAGCAAUUUGAAAAUCAGAUGUUUUGAUAUACUUCAAACCACAGUCUAAGGUUCCUUACAAAUAUCUCAUGAUUCGUUUCACCAGAUGCAUGUGCAAAUCUGUUAGAUGAGUCAUAUACUGACAAACAACAUUAACAGAAUGAGCAAUAUCUGGGCGAGUGAAGGUGAGGUACUGAAGGGCUCCCAUAAGACUUCGAUAAUGAGUAGGAUCAGCUAAACCAUUGCCUUCAUUCACAAGUAACUAAGAGUGAGGCUUAAAUGGUGUUGAUGUGGAUUUACAAUUCUCCAUCCCUGCUUUCUUGAGUAGCUCUUUGGCAUAUUUGGAUUGUGUUACCAUCAAUGAACCAUCAGAAUUAUAGUGAAUUUGCAAUUCCAAGAAAUAUGUUAAUCUGCCCAUAUCCUUUAAAUCAAACACUUCAGCAAGACUAGUGAUAACAAAUUGAAUCUUUUGGGAGGAUGAACCUGUGAGGAUAAUGUCAUCUAUAUAGAGAAGAAGUAGAAUAACAUCCCCAUCCCCAUCGUCAACAUUUACAAACAAACUAGAAUCGGAUAAUGCAGUUUUAAACCCAAGUGCACGAAGAAAGCUUGUAAAUUUUGAAUUCCAGGCCCUUGAUGCCUGUUUAAGACCAUACAAGGACUUAACUAACCGGCAAACAUGAUUUGGAUAUGUAGUAUCAAGAAACCCCUGUGGCUGCUUCAUAUAUACUUCUUCGUCAAGAUCACCAUGAAGGAAAGCAUUCUUGAUAUCCAAUUGUCUCAAGUUCCAAUUAAAUUGUACUGCCAAAGCAAGAAUUAUUUUGACUGUAGUAUGCCUGACCAUUGGACUGAAUGUCUCAGAAUAGUCCAAGCCCUUAUUUUGACUAAACCCUUGUGCCACUAAUCGUGCCUUAUACCUGGAUAUAGUGCCAUCUAAAUUUCGUUUGAUUUUAUAGACCCAUUUACUCCCAAUAACUUCUCUAUUGGAUGGAAGAGGAACUAGUCUCCAGGUCCCUUGAGCCUUUAAGGCAUCAAAUUCCUCCUGCAUAGCCUGCUGCCACUGAGUGACUUUUGAUGCAGCUCGAAAGUGUUUUGGUUCUUCACUCUCUCCAAUAUCAGCAAGGAAAGAGAAACCACAAUGAUCCAUUGUAGUAGCAGAGACUAAAGAAGGUCCAAUAUUAACAGAACUAUGAAUCUCUAAAGAACACUAUGAACAAGCAGAAAGAAAAAAAAAACGGAAGAACAAAGUAUAUCUAAUCUCUUAGUAAUGAACUGUUUUUACAAAGCUUUUCUUACCGAAUGUGAAAAGAUCAAAUGGCUAUAUGUACUAACCAAUCACAAUUUACAAUUACAAUAUUACCCUCUAACCUCCUUACUCAAUUACAAUCUCAUCCUCUUUAACAAACUCAAUUCCCAACUACCUUUGUAACUAACUUGACCUACACCUCCUUGCCAGGUGUCAUUGGUUAAUAGUAGCUGCAUGAGUACAAGUCGAAAUAUUAUUGUUUAUAUAAAACAAUUCAUAUAAAUUCGAUUUUUUUUUUUUUUGCGAUCAUUUGGUUAAAUUUCGUUUUGCAUGUAGUGGGGUAGAAUAGAAUUCUCUCCCCUCAUAAUCUCUCUUCUUUUUCCUCCUCUUCUAUUGGAACGGUUACGAUUAAGAAAAUUCUUGCUAAAAAAUGUAAAGGAGUUUGGAAACGAUACUAAUUAAGGUUUCCUUACUGGCUUUACAAAUUGCAUUUUUCACCAAAAUAGUUGCUCACGUUUUUUAAUCGAUUUUUCUAAAUAAAAAAAACAACAAUUCAUUUUAGAACUAAGCCGAUCUGUUUACACAUGUGUAUGUGUAAACUUCAUAUAGUCAGUGACAUACCCCGACCGAGAUCGAGGCAUGCUAGCCGUCAUGUGAGGGUGACGUAGCCACGUGCACAGUGCGGAAGCAAUAAAGAUAAGAAAUAUACGAAUAAAUAAAAACCGAAAGCUACUAAUGUGCACUAAUAAACAGGAAGUGCUAGGAGUGAGAUACAAGUGUAAAUACUCCUAAUCAGAGCAUAGAAAGUCUAGGUGCAGUCCAAUAGGACAAGUACUAGUUAUACAAUACCAGAAGAUGUCCUAUAAAUAUUUUAUUCUGUCAAAACUGCUAAGAUCCUCAAUGUCACCAACAACAAAUCUAACUAAAACCUAAAGGCGCACAAAACAGAAAAUAUGAGUGGGCACAAACAAAGAUUUUCAAAACCAUUUCAUUUAUCAAACGCUUUAACCACUCGCCGUAAAACAUGUAUAAUUUUUCCUAGAAAUAGAAUAUAAACAUAUGCAUAUAUAUAUAUAUAUAUAUAUAUAUCAAUUUAAAUGAUGCUUCACAUAACCAUAUUCAUAAGUAUGUCAUGCCAAAACAUAAAAUAGAAUAAGUAACUUAGGUGAGAAUAAAUUCAUGGAAAAUAACAUAUUAGCCGGAACCCCUGUAGAAGUUUGUACGGCUAAAUUCAUAGCUCAUUAGUCAAUCUAACCGGAGUCACUACAAUGACCUAUACGACACUACACUGCAUACAAGUCGGAACCACUAAAAUGGUCUGUACGACAAGACUGGGUGUAAUAUAAUUAUGCUCCAUACUACUCUCUCAUGAUAGCUGGGCGAUAAAUCGCUAGUCACCUACGAGUCGGAACCACCUAUGAUGGUCUAUAAGACAAGACUAUGCACCUAAAUUGGAUCCAAUGUGAGCAUAUGAUGCGGGAGGUGACAUUAUAAACAGGUUUGUGUCAUAUCUCUGGCUAAAUCACUAACACCGGGGUGUAGGUUUAUGAGCUCAAUAUUUCUCAAUUAAUCACAACCGUUAAUCACAUUCACAAUUCAUAAACUCACUCGGGCUUACCAGACCAUCCACAGCACCACAAUUAUAUAUAUAUAUAUAUGCAAACAUCAUAUGCAUAUUCUAAAUAUAAAACGUUUGGCAUAGAUCAAAUUAUAACUCAUUUAAAUGCAUUUUUUGGGAAAUAUCAAGCAUAUACAUAUAUACUUAAAACCAAAGCCCACUCACUGGUAUGUCGAAGGGUCGUAGCCCCCGAGUCACCCUUGACUGCGCUCGUCCUCGGGAUAAGUCUCCCCUAUAUGCAAAACAACUAUGAAAACGUUAAUUUAAAGCACAUAACCAAUACUAGCUAAUAAUUUCUCAUAAAUUGCUCUAAUGGGAUGUUUGAAUAUACCAACGCGAUCUACACAACCUCACGAACAUCCCCAUAGUUUUAAAAUAAUUUUUCAACAUCCCACGCGUCGGCAAGGGCACGACAACACGCGCAGCCAGGCGCAGGGACCCUAACGGAAUCCCUUAACCCCGUUAGGAAUAUUCCGUUAAAUAGUAACAGAAUCCGCUAAACUAACCAACGCUGUUAGGAAUAUUUGGUCAAAGUUGACGGAAUAUUCUAUCAUCUCCUACCUUCGAACUCCGGCAACCGUCGCCGUCGCCGUCGCAAAAAACUGGGAAAAUCUUAUAAUCCUUAUAUGUCUGUCGUUUCUUAACCAAAACUUAUGAAAUUGGUCUCAAUUUAAAGCUUAUAACUAGAAGAACACAUCCUUACCAAUUUCAAGGCUUGAAAUCCACGAAAGCUCGCCGGAGAGAGCUCGAUAAUUCCGGCCAAAUUUCAAACUCUCCAAACUCAACUUCCUGACGUCCAAUUUGCUUGAUUUUUCUUCUCUGAGCUUAGUACGAACGUCCUAAAGCUUCCUAUAAGCUUAAAAUCACCUGAAAUAUCCAUAAUUACGACCACAUGAACAGUACUCAAAUCGGGGGUGAUGGUUCCUCGGGUUUUUGAAGGUUUCACGAUUUACAAAUGGCAUAUAUGAACUCAGGGACUUGCAAGGAGUUCAAAUCUUACCUUCUUGACGUCGAUCCAUGCGUAAAAUGUGAGUUUGGAGUUCAUCCAUACAUUUUGUACGAAAAUGGUAUGAAGGCCGAGAGAAGGAGAGAACGCACGAGGUGUUUUUUGUGUGUGUGUGUGUGUGUGUCCUCACUUGGUCACCCAACAAAACAACACCUAAGUUUAAUUUUUUACUUGAGUCCAAAACUUAGGAACUCAACAUAGUAGUCUACAUUCCAAAAGCAUGUCACACACGUCACAAUCUUGACAUCCAAGGGUAAAAUCAUCAUUUCACACCGUCAAAACUAAAUGUUUCGGGACGGGCUGUGACAAUCUAAAUUGUCACAUCCUGGCCCGGUCCCCCACCAUAUCCCGGGCUCAACUCUGCCGUAGCACGAUAUUGUCCACUUUGGGCCCCGACCACGCCCUCACGGUUUUGUUUCUAGGAACUCACAUGAGAACUUCCCAGUGGGUCACCCAUCCUGAGAUUGCUCUCGUGCGAACUCACUUAACUUCAGAGUUCCAAUGGAACUUGAAGCCAGUGAGCUCCCAAAAGGCCUCUUGCUAGGUAGAGAUGGGAAUAUACAUAUAAGAUUUAGAUGAUCCACUCUCCUGGGCGAUGUGGGAUGUUACAGUCAGCACACAAACAAUGCUUCAUACGUUAUCUUGAACUAGCAUCUUGUCGUACGCGUAUGCAUGUUACAAAAUAUAUUAAGAAAUUCAAUUUUUUAUUUAUUUAUAUAUUUUUGAAAAUAAAUUAGAAGUUAAACAUAAACCAUCCACUAACAUGGGGUUUUGUUAUUUUUUUCUUUCUAAGUUUAAAAUUUUAAAUUCGUUCAAAAUUAAUAUUUGUUGAAUUAUUUUAACUCCUUUUAAUUCAAUAGUAAUUUAAAAAAAAAAUUGGAGGCAAUUUAUGGUAUUUUGAAAUUAACCUGCAUGCAUGCAGUUUGACUACUUUGGCCUCCCAGCCAGUCGGUUCUUGUCCAUUUUUUCCACCCUGUUAUGAAAGUGAAAUAUACCUAUAGCUAUAAUGUACUACGAGAACAUGAGACAUGCAGUGUUACUUUCAACAGGUGGUACGCCUUGCUACCUCACACUUAUCCUCCUUGAAUCCAUAUCUACACAUUCAAUCAACUCUUGUGCAUUACGUACGUCGCUAUGCUUCUUCAAAAGUCUCUCAAUUUCAUAAAAAUUGCAGAGCUGGGUGUAGCUACAUAAGCUGCAAAAGCACAAAUCGAAGUAUUAUUGCUUAUAUAAAAGAAUUCAUAUAACUUUGCUUUCUUCUUUUUUUUUUCUUUUUUUUUUUUAGACCAUACGGUUAAAUUUCAUUUUGCAUGUCUUAGGGUAAAGGGAGUUAUGAUUUUCUCUCCUUCUAAUCUCUCUCCCCUUUCUUCCCAUCUUAUUUGAAUAGUUACGAUUAAGUCAUAUCAACAUCUUAUAUUGAUUUCUUUAUAGAGAGAGAAAGACAAAGAUGAAAGUGUGAGAAGAGGGGAGGAAAAUGGGGAGGAUUAGGGGGGAAAGAAUUGUAGUCCAGGGUAAAGAACUCAUUCACAUGCAAGAUUUGAGUCCAUUAUCAAUCAGCCGUUGGAUCUUGAACUCUCUAUAAGUAUGAAACAAAAUGAGUCCAUCUAUCUCACCCAAAAAUCAAUAAAAAAAGAUUCCAUCAGAAAUAGCCAUCCUAAUCCUUGUAUUUCCUUGCCUUCCUGUGGUCUCUCCUCUGCAUCCUAAUCAAUGUCUUCUCAAGGAAAAGCAAAAAACUACCUCCUGGCCCUAGGGCACUACCAAUCAUUGGCAAUCUUCAUAUGCUAGGCGACCUCCCACACUGCAGCCUCCAAAACCUAGCAAAAAAAUAUGGACCUAUACUGUCGAUGCGUCUAGGGUUCAUACCAACCAUAGUGGUCUCAUCUCCCCAAGCAGCAGAGCUAUUCCUCAAAACCCACGACACCAUUUUUGCUAGCCGCCCCAACAUUGGUGUUAUGUGCCUUUCCUUAGUCCACUUGAUCUUCAGGUAUGUUACCCUUCAUUGUUAAUUACCAAACUUUACCCUUCAUUGUUAAUUACCAAACUUGUUACAUGAAAAAAGUAUCUAGGAGACCGGCCAAUGUCCACUUCUAACAAUACUAAUAUUGUCUUUAACUUGUUGAUUACUACAUGCUCAGUCCGACAAGUAUGAAGGUUUAUUAUAAAAGACUUCAGUAUUAGUUGAAAGAGUUAAAAUAUUUGAACUUUUUUUUUCUUUGUCUCUGUCCAAUGUCAGAUAGUUAAACAUACCCUCUUACGUAAGACCCAUUUAGUGGGUCAUACGUGAGAAAUCCACACAUCGGCAACCAUGUGGAGCCAAAUUAUAACCUCUCUAAAUAAUUAUUAAAAAAAUAAAUAAUUUAAUCAUAACAUUUGUAAAAUUUACUAUCGUUUCCAAACUUCUUUACAUUGUCUGGCAAGAAUUUUAACAAGCUUGUGGUGUGGAAAAAAAUUCUUUGAAAAUAGUGCUUUGUAUAAUUUUCUUAGAAUUUUGUCAAAACUAAUUAAAGCCUGUGUGUAACACUUUAGAUGAAACUUGGGUAAAUAUCUUAUGUUGCACCUGCGUAAAAUUGAUAUAUUUGAGUGAAUCACGUGGAAAAGUUGAAAACGCAGCAUGUAAGUACAACUAGAACAAGACAUGUUACUUUCAAAAGAUGGCACACGUAUCCUCAUGUUGUCCAUAUCCAUCCAUAUUCAAUGAACUCUUGUGCAUUCCGCCCCCACCCACCCACCACCCCCCACCCCAAAACCAAGAAAAGUGAAUCACGUGGAAAAGUUGAAAACACAGCAUGUAUGUACAACUAGAACAAGACAUGUUACCUUCAAAAGAUGGCACACGUAUCCUCAUGUUGUCCAUAUCCAUCCAUAUUCAAUCAACUCUUGUGCAUUCUUCUUCAAAAUUCUCUCUCAAUUUCAUGAAAAUUACAGAAGUAGGCGUAGGGUAAAGGGAGUAAAAUUGUAUCCCCUCUUUAUCUCUCUUCCUUUUUCUUCUCUCCAAUUUGAACGGUUUACAAUUAAACCAUGUCAACAUCUUUUAUUGACUUCUUUAUAGAUAGAGAAAGACAAAGAAAAAAGUGUGAGAGAAGGAAAGAAAAAGGGGAAGGAAUUAGGAGUGGAGACAAUCCUAAUGGAGGUUAAAGAACUCAUUUGCCACAUGCUAGCAUUUGGUAAUAUAUCAAUUAGUUGUUAGAUCUUGAACUCUCUAUAAGUAUCAAACAAAAUGAGUCUACAUGUAUAUAUAUGUGUGUGUGUCUAAUGUCCCAUUUAUCGAUCUCACCCAGAAAUCAUAUAAAAUGAGUCCUUCAGAAAUAGCCAUCCUCAUCCUUGUAUUCCUCACAUUCCUAUGGUCUCUCCUCCACCUAAUCAAUGCCUCCUCAAGGCAAAGCCGAAAACUGCCACCUGGCCCUACACCACUGCCAAUCAUUGGCAAUCUUCAUAUGCUAGGCGACCUCCCACACCGUAGCCUCCAAAACCUGGCAAAAAAAUAUGGACCUAUAAUGUCCAUGCGUCUAGGGUUCAUACCAACCAUAGUGGUCUCAUCUCCCAAAGCAGCAAAGCUAUUCCUCAAAACGCAUGACACCAUUUUCGCUAGCCGCCCCAAACUCCAAGCCUUCGAGUACAUGGCUUACGGCUCGAAGGUCAUGGCCUUUAUUGAAUAUGGGCCAUACUGGCGCCAUAUUCGGAAACUUUGCACACUUCAACUUCUUUGUCCCUCGAAAAUUGAGGGUUUUGCUCCGCUAAGAAGGGAGGAGGUAGGGUUGUUAGUGCAGUCCCUGAAGGUAGCUGCGGAGGGGGGCGAGGUGGUGGAUUUUAGUGAGAAGGUUGGUGAGCUUGUUGAGGGAAUCACGUAUAGGAUGGUGUUGGGGAGAAAAAAUGAUGAUAUGUUUGAUCUCAAGGGGAUUAUUGAGGAAGCCCUAUUCUUGACAGGAGCUUUCAACAUUAGUGAUUAUGUGCCUUUCCUUAGUCCACUUGAUCUUCAGGUAUGUUACCCUUCAUUCUUAACUACCAAACUUGUUAGAUGAAUCAAUAAUAAAACUAGGGAAAUGCUUGGACCACUGUAAAGUAGGGACAUUUAGAUUGCACGCACGCUAUUGCUAAGCACAAAUACAAAGUAGAGGCGUUGCAAAUAAGUGCAUGCACGUAUGCGCGACUGAUCUUAGCACUACUCCUCUAAAAAUAUUUGAACUCUAUUAUUUAGAUGACGUAUUUCGAUGGAUCCAUCAACAGGAGCAAAAGCAGUGUUAGCAAAUAAAGUGAACGAGAUUAACUCGUAGUUUUAGGAAACUGAGCUCGUUUGGAUGUAGUUUUAAAAUGACUAAAAGUGUUUUUGGUAAAAUUAUUUUUAGAAACAAUCCUUCAUAAAAACGCUAACAGAUCUUGGAAAAGCAUUUAAAGUGCUUUCUGGAAGAAGCAAGUAUAACUAGUGCUUCUUGUAGAAAGCACUUCAAAUAUUGCUUUUGGAAUCCAAAAACAAUUUUUCUAUAAGCGCUUUCAAUCAUUUUAAUAGCAUAUCCAAACUCAGCCAAUAACUAGUCCGCAUUCGUACAAAUUAAUCUGAGAGGAAUAUCUGUUUACCUUAGCCAGCUAACUUAUCGUCUUUUUGCUGGUGAUAUGAUUCACAAAGUCUAAGCAUCCACAAAUUAUAAAUGCAAUACCAUAUGAUUCAUAUCGUAUGGUCCAUUCCAUAGCCUGCUGACGAUAAACUAUCUUCUAAUUCGAGAUGUAGAAACAUAUUUACAUCUUAUUUUAUAGUUUCAAGAGGUGUAGAUGGAAGUUCUAUGCUAAUGAGAGUGAUGUAAAUUUGAGCUUUUAUUUAAUUUUCUCUCUUAGAGUAGCGGAGUCCACCAUAAAAAAAAUAUACAUCCAUAUAUAUAAGUUCUUAUUUAUAUUUUCCAAAUCAAUAUUUUACAUCUUUCUGACCAACUUAAAGUAUUAAAUACAAAUUGCUCCCUAUCUUAUGCAUUUGGUUGCCAAUGCCAUCCGGGAUAUUAUUACAAUAGCAAUGGAUUUAAUGCACAAUUCAUUAUUUUAGGAACCUUAAUUUCUGCAAUCAACUAUACAAAUUUAAAAUAUAUUCAACAGGCUCUUUUAAGGGAAGAUCUCCAUUUAAAAAAUAAAUAAAAAAUAAAAAUUAGUUGUAGGGCUCAUCCCACAUCAAACUUCAAUAAUAAGAAUUGUCUAUAUUUUAUCUCUAUUCAUAGGUCAUUCUUGCAAAAAAACAAUUCAAUCCGAAAUCAUUUGGUCAUUUGAUUGUCACGAUGAAAUUUUAAAGUUUCUUAUAACAUAAUGUUCGUCAAUGUCUUGGAGCUCAAUUAGAUUAAUUGAUGCCUCAAACAUUUUUUAUUUGGCUAAUUUUGCAAGAAUGAUUUAAGAGGUACAACUUGAAUUGAAAAUAGACAAUUCGGAUAUCAUUGAAGUUCAAUGUCGUAUAAGACUGCACAAGUAAUCUAAAAAAUGAGAAUCCCUUCCCUUAAAACCAUAUGUUACAUGUAUGUUUUUUUUUUCUUCUUAUCCUUCAUAAAGGAUGUAAUACUAGUAAUAAGGAUUUUAUUUUACCAUUGAAAAUGAGGAUUUUACAAAAAUUCAAAAGAUAAAAUGCUAGUAAAUAUGUAGAUAUAGAUUUUGAGGCCUUACGUAGUUGGGUAAAAUUGAGUUUAAUUCCAAUUUUAUAAGAAUCAAACUCCUAGGGUGGAAAAUUUGCAUUUUACAUGAGUGACUCCGAUUAUUGAGUUUAAUAAUUACCAAUGACUUUAAUUCCAAUAAAUGAUCAACCAUUUGACAGAGAAAAAUAGAGAUUAAUACAUAAAAUAAGGAAAACAAAAGUCCAAUAAUAUUAUAGGAAUCAAACUCAACGUACAUGAUUAUAUGUGGGAAUGAAACUAAACAAAACUAACGUUUCUCUCUGUAAUUGUUCUUUCAUCUCAGAAAAAAGGGUUGCACAUGAUCCCUUAUACCCAUGUGAGUGUGUCACCGUAUAUGCCUAUCCUCACCCAAAAGUUACUCCAAAAAUACAAGAUGUAAUAGCUUUUAUAUAUGCAUGCAUGUCUUGUCCAUUUCAUUGUCUAAUAAAAAUGAUAGCUACAGUACUCAACUAGAAGUACAUAUGAUUGAUUGAUUGUAUGGAAUAUUAACUAUUUCUUCCACUUAGGGAUUGACCAAGCGCAUGAAGAGAGUUAGCAAAAUUGUCGACCAACUACUCGAAAAGAUAAUUCAGGAUCAUGAACAAGUUUCCAGAAGUGAGGUACAAGGCAAUCAUCAUAAGGACUUUGUAGACGUGCUACUUUCAUCAAUCCACCAACCAUUAAACCCCAACAAUGAGGAAGUCUACAUGCUCGAGCGAACAAAUGUCAAAGCCAUUUUACUCGACAUGAUUGUGGGUGCCCUUGACACCUCAACCACGGCAAUUGUCUGGACCCUGGCCGAACUCUUGAGGCACCCGAAAGUAAUGAAACGUCUCCAAGAAGAGCUCAAGAGUGUGAUCAGGAUGGAUCGAAUGGUGGAAGAAAGUGAUUUGCCAAAGCUGGAUUACUUGAGCACGGUUGUCAAGGAUAGCUUAAGGCUACACCCAAUUGCCCCAUUACUAGUCCCUCAUCAAUCCAUGGAGGACAUUACAGUUGAUGGAUAUCACAUACCUAAGAAAUCAAGAGUUUUUAUCAAUAUUUGGACCAUUGGGAGGGAUCCAAGUGUAUGGUCAGAUAAUGUGGAAGAAUUUUACAAUGAAAGGUUUAUGAAUAAUAACGUUGACCUACGUGGACAUGACUUCCAGCUCAUACCAUUUGGGUCUGGUCGAAGAGGGUGCCCUGCUAUGCAAUUAGGGUUAACCACAGUUCGUCUUGUUCUGGGAAACUUGUUGCACUGCUUCAACUGGGAGCUCCCUAGUGGAAUGCUACCUAAAGACUUGGACAUGACUGAGAAAUUUGGCUUAUCGUUGUCGAAAGCCAAACACUUGCUUGCCAUGCCGACGUGCCGUUUGUACAAUGGAAGUUGAUGAUUGGUUUAUUAGUUAAGCUUUGAUAGAUGUGCCCAUUUCUAUUGGUGACACAUCAUUUAAUUUACAAUUUUAGUCUCUUUAGCAUUACUCCCUUAAUAUAUAUAACAUUAAUUAACCAUA